This 45112-nucleotide long non-coding RNA is filed under the name Citrus maxima (pomelo). Its description in RNAcentral is "long non-coding RNA (CMAX_LNC001223)". The record is from RNAcentral. Lineage: Eukaryota; Viridiplantae; Streptophyta; Magnoliopsida; Sapindales; Rutaceae.
GCAAGUCUCUUCAUAGGUCCGAACCAUUUCUUCGGGCGUGGGUUUCGGGUCUUUAGGAAACUCCAUAGUGAUAAGCCAGUGAUUGUAAUCGCAACCCUCGAACAGAAUCGUGUCGGGUGUGAUCUCGUCGCCGUCCUUAUACAAGUGGUACGUCUUGUUACCCGACGGCGUAGACGAGAGGGAGAUCGUCGGGGACGAUCUGAACGGCCGAGAUUGGACGAUGAUGGAGGAGCACGGGAUUAGCGAUGACGACGCCGAUGAAAUGGAAGGGUUUACGAGAGUAGAUGCGGAGAGUGCAGGGACGGCCAGAGAGAGAGAGCGUCGGAGAGCGGCGACGGCCGGUAGUGACCGGCGGAGGCGGAGGAUGGCGGUGUGGGCCAUUGCUUGCGCGUCAGUGAGUGUCUCGAGUGAGAGAGUGAAGGGUUUUGUUUAGGGUUUUGGGAAAUAUGAAAAAUGUAAAUGUUGGAUUUUGUUGCCAGAAACUUCUUCUGCCGCUGCUUUUUAUUUUCGCUAUAAAAAUAAUAAUUAUCAAAUAUUUUCUUAAAAAAGAUAAAUUUCUAGAUCAAAAUUUAUAUUAAAUCAAAUUGUAAAAAUGUGGAAUAGGGUUAAUUUCUCCUUGAUAUAUUUCAGAGUUGUAUUAUAGAUGUAUAUGUAUCUAGAUUGUAAUUAUAUUUUUAAAAAAUUAAAUUUUUAAUUAUUGCACAAUAAAUGUAGAAAGUAUCUAUAAAAUAAUAUUAUUAGGAUUACGAAAAGAUAUUAUUUUGGACAAGUUAUUUGUUUAUUAUUGAAUGAAUAAUUUAUUGAAUUAUUGAUAAAUAAAUAUUUAUUAAUUUAAAGAUUUUUUUUUUAGUUUUAAUAAAAGUUUUGUUGGGAAAUUUAUAAAAAUGGCCAUAAAACUUUUGUGUUUUUCAACUUUAAUCCUCUAAAGUUUUUUCUAUCAUAACUAGCCAAACACCCUAUGUUUGGACUGUAUUACCCUCAUCACUUUCAUCAAAUUUACAAAGUCAUGCCACUUUUUCAAUUCCAGUACAAGUAAAUACGGAUCUUCCUCAACAACUUAACAAACCUUCAUCACUCUCAACAAAUUUCAUCAUUCUCGAUAAAUCAAUUGCAUAAUUGAAUAUAUAAUCAUCAAUGGGAGAGCUUCUUAAAAUUAGUUUAUACUCUUACAUAAUGUAAACCUUUAAUCUAUUAAUUUUAUCAACUAAGUUCGAAAUUAAAGUGGGUUUUGUUGCAAAUAUUGUCAUUUUCCAUUCAUAAAACAAUGUGAUUUGUUAAAGUACUUAGUUUGAAUUGAGAAAUGAAGUAAAAUCAUUGAAAACACAGAAAAAUCGGGCAAAAAACGAAGUUCAGAACAAGUGAGACAUGCAAGUGGGACAGGUGCAUGUCUCACAUAAACGCACUGCAUUUAUGUGAGACAGGCACCUGUCCCACUGCCUGUCGCACAUAAACCCACGGAUUUUAUGGAGUACAUAAUUUUGGAUUUGAUUUGUCUCGUCGUAAGCUUCGAAACGGUAUAUUAUAUGCCUAAAACGGACAUAUAUAGCUCAAGUUAUGGCUUUCGAAACAUAUAUGAAAUUUAGUGAGACAGGCAAGUGGGACAGGUGCCUGUCGCACAUAAACGCACUGCGUUUAUGUGCGACAGGCACCUGUCCCACUGCUUUUCGCACAUAAACCCACGGAUUUUAUGGAGUACAUGAUUUUGGAUUUUAUUUGUCUCGUCGUAAGCUUCGAAACGGUAUAUUAUACGCCUAAAACGGACAUAUAUAGCUCAAGUUAUGGCUUUCGAAACAUAUAUGAAAUUUAGUGAGACAGACACCUGUCCCACUGCUUUUCGCACAUAAACCCACGGAUUUUAUGGAGUACAUGAUUUUGGAUUUUAUUUUUCUCGUCGUAAGCUUCGAAACGGUAUAUUAUACGCCUAAAACGGACAUAUAUAGCUCAAGUUAUGGCUUUCGAAACAUAUAUGAAAUUUAGUGAGACAGGCAAGUGGGACAGGUGCCUGUCGCACAUAAACGCACUGAUUUUAUGGAGUACAUGAUUUUGGAUUUUAUUUGUCUCAUCGUAAGCUUCGAAACGGUAUAUUAUACGCCUAAAACGGACAUAUAUAGCUCAAGUUAUGGCUUUCGAAACAUAUAUGAAAUUUAGUGAGACAGGCAAGUGGGACAAGUGCCUAUCUCACUAAAUUUCAUAUAUGUUUCGAAAGCCAUAACUUGAGCUAUAUAUGCCCGUUUUAGGCAUAUAAUAUACCGUUUCGAAGCUUACGACGAGACAAAUAAAAUCCAAAAUCAUGUACUCCAUAAAAUCCGUGAGUUUAUGUGUGAUAGGCAGUGGGACAGGUGCCUGUCGCACAUAAAUGCAGUGCGUUUAUGUGAGACAGACACCUGUCCCACUUGCAUGUCUCACUUGUUCUGAACUUCGUUUUUUGCCCGAUUUUUCUGUGUUUUCAAUGAUUUUUCUUGAUUUCUCAACUCAAACUAAGUACUUUAACAAAUCACAUUGUUUUAUGAAUGAAAAAUGACAAUAUUUGCAACAAAACCCACUUUAAUUUCGGACUUAGUUGAUAAAAUCAAUAGAUUAAAGGUUUACAUUGUGUAAGAGCAUAAACUAAUUUUAAGAAGCUCUCCCAUUGAUGAUUAUAUAUUCAAUUAUACAAUUAAUUGAAGGUUUGUUGAGAGUGAUGAAGGUUUGUUAAGUUGUUGAGGAAGAUCCGCAUUUACUUGUACUGGAAUUGAAAAAGUGGCAUGGCUUUGUAAAUUUGAUGAAAGUGAUGAGGGUAAUGUAGUCCAAACAUAGGGUGUUUGGCUAGUUAUGAUAGAAAAAACUUUGGGGGGUUAAAGUUGAAAAACGCAAAAGUUUUAUGGCCAUUUUUGUAAAUUUCCCAGUUUUGUUGGUAGACGCACAAACUCAUAAGGAAAUACAAAAAGUGCUUCCUCAAAUCAAUAAUAUUUACUUUAAUUCAUAAUAAUAUAACUUAAUUAGGAAACUUGUAAUUAUACUGUUUAUUUUUUUCUUUGUUCAGUUUGGUGGGACAAUGUGAUAAAUCAUUAGAUUAAAAUGCAUUUCUAAAUGCACUAAUUUUCUAGAUGAAUUUUUUCCUACAUGCUUGUUCUCAUAUGACCCAAAAUCCUGCUACAUCAGUUGUAUUAGAAAUUAAUCACGUGGGCUACAAUUCUGCAUCCCCACCAAUAUUUAAGCAAUCUACAGAAACAUUUCUUGAGGAAAGAAACUCACAUCGGCACUAGGCUUUCAAUGAGGCUCAUUUUUAUGAAUCUGGAUAGCAUUAGAUAUCUCUCCGAAUACUGGUGGGAGUAGAUCGCAGAUCUCUGGGCUAUACUACAAAGUGUACGUACGUUGACUCUCAAUAAAUACAAACGAUUCUCUGAUAUGAUUCAAAACAUCAGUGCAUGCAUCAUUUUAACGAGAGAGAAUAUUCUAAGAACGAAAUUGAAGGUGCAAUCAGCAGCUAAAAUGAAGCCAGAAAUGUACACGCAUGAGGAACGUUUCCUAGAAGAUUGAUAUUUCUUUGACUAGCAAACCAUACACGUCAAAGCUAGCCAAACCAUACUUGCAAGUCGGGGGUUUAAAUGGAGUACUUCUAAGCAUAAAACAUUGAUUAAAACAGAAUACACACAUACAUACCAGCAAAUUCAAUAUAGCAAAAGGAGUGCAAAAGUUCAUGUUUGUAGACAACAUUGCAACCAUGGCAUGUUUAUAGCAAAUCCUCGAAAUCUGCUAAAUAAAACAAUGCCUUGUCUCAUGAAUCAAUGCUGAAUUAAAAUUGAAACUGAAAGUCCGGCUGGCGUUGUUUCCCUCUCCAAUUUUGCCUACAUAAGUGAAAAUAAGAAUAAUAAAUGAAAAUCUGCUUUUACAGUUCUUAUUAGAUAGAUAAAAGGGGGAUCUUUCUUUGUUUCUCUGCUGCAAUGUGUGGCUAUCCCACUCUGUUUUGCCACCCAAGCUGAGUCUAUGUUGAGACAUAAUUUUGACAUCAGAAGCAAUCUCAAUUAGUUUGGCACUUUUAUGACCUCCUUGAAGGUUUUACGAUAAACAUAAAUCUACUGAGAAAGUGGGAAAAAAAAGAAAAUGCAUAUAAAAAUAUGAGUUAUCAGAUAAGAUUAAAACUCACCCAAUUCAAUCCAUCAGAUUCCGUAAGGAUAUAACUGGAUGUCAUACCGCCACUCCAUAUCCUUGAAAGUCCGUAGUGUUUGUCUCAACUCUGUCUGAGGCCAAUGUAAAUUCAAUUUGCGCAAGCUCUUUAUGCACCACAGCUCUUCUGGAAGCUUUCUCAAGUAAGCACAUGGGUUGACAAUUAAGCUUUCAAGUUUCGGCAUUGCUCCAGCCCCCAUCGUCCACUCAUCUAGCCAAUACAUUGAUUUCAGGUGCAAAACCUUAAGUUCGGGAAAGCUACUCAAGCCAACACAAGCAAGCUUUCUUCCUAAAUACGAGUUCUGCUUCAGUUUCAGCACUCGAAGGCGUGGAAGAUUUUCCAGAAUUGGCAUGGGAUCCUCCAUUAGCUUAGUAUUUGAUAAGCUCAGUUGGAUCAGACUUGGGGGAAAUUGGUAUUCAGACAGGACCAUCCGUGAGGGCUUGCUCUCAUUCACCAGCUUCAAGCAUUCAAGUUUGUGGAGUUCGCAAAGGCUUUUGGAAACCCCAGACUGAUAGUAACUCAAAUCUCCAGAUAUCCGAAGAGUCUGAACACUAGGUAGUCUGCCCAAUAUAUCAGGAGUACAACUACUAGGGUUUAAAGCUGAUAUGAAAAUGAGAUUUUUCAGAGAGCUAGAAUAAUUUUUUGGAGGUGCGGGCAGAGUGAUAGAACCAAAGUUUAGAUGCAUGAGUUUUUGCAUCAUCCAAAUAUCCUCUGGUGAAUGAUCUAUGUCGCUAGAUGGCAUUUCUAGUGUUUGAAGGUUUAAAAGGGUGCAUAGCAUUGAAGGAAGGCAUUUGAGCGAAGGGAUAUUCAAUUUCAAAUACUUCAAAAGGAAUAAAUUUUCUAAUCCGGGUGGAUAUUGGUCCAGGACUGCAGAACCCAUGUUCAGUACCCGAAGGUAUUUGAACAUUUUACAAAAGUUCUCGCAAUCUAUCAGAGCGAGACGAUCGCUUUCUGAACUGUGAUUCAGAAAAGAUUGGAGAUACAUGUCAGAAUGUUCUAGAGAAAGGAACUCAAUCAGACGUUCCACAAUGAAGCACCGUUUAACAUUUGCCGUUGAUUCCUCUUCCAUGUCAGGCGUCCAGACAAAUCCCGCCUUCUUUGCCAACAAUAACAAUGAAGUAAAUACAAAACUUGGAACAUAACACGCUUUAAUUGUGCCGCCGGCGCUUCUCUUACUCACUUGAAUGAAGCCGCGAUGGAUUAGUUCUUUCAAGUAAUGUUCGGCAGUUUCUUCACCGUUGUAUGGUAUGAAACCUUCAGCUACCCACAAAUGAUAUAAUUGCCUCGUGGAUAUCUCAAUGCCUGGAAGGAAGACACACAAAUAGAUGCAGCAGAUUUUCAAGUGAAAAGGUAACUCCAACACAGAAAAAAUUUGUCUCCAAACUGUCGGAAUCGCUUCGCCUUGAACAUAAUUUUCCAAUGGCAUACUUCCAUAGUGUAGGAUGAAAAAUUGCCAGGCUUCAUGCUUUAAUCUGAUCAAUGGUCCUCCAAUGAGCACUGAAUCAAGCCGAAUCUUCUCUCCGUUUUCCAUUUCCAGCGACGCAAGGAGGUCUGGAUCAGUGACCAAUAUCAAUACUCUGCUUCCAUUCUGAUCAUCUGGAAGAAGUUCUAAAACAUCACUCCAUAUCUCACUGUCAUCGAAGACAUCAUCAAGCACAAUAAAGUACUUCUUGUUUGUUAGGUAAUCUCGAAGAAUAGAUUUCUUCAAUUGAUGCUCUUCACCGAUAAUUACACUAACCCGAGCUGGAGGCAUCACAGACUUGAUUAUGCCAUCCAAUAUCUUGCCGUAAUCAUAGCUUAGAGAAACCCUGACCCAAGAAAGACAGUCAAAAUAGAACUUGACAUGGUUAUUAUUAUAAGUAUCUGCAGCAAAAGCAGUCUUAUCGAAGCCACUGCUGUCGAGAAUUGCAACCACUGAAAGCCCAGAUGGUCCCUCAAUCAAUAGAUCAAAAAACUUCUCUCUGCCCCUUUCAAAUUCACUGAUAUCGAGCCGAGGUUGUCCCUCAUUCAAUAGGCGAAUGAUUUCGUUACUUUUUUCACUGAUAUCAAAACCAUUGUCGCCGGGUGGAAGUUGUUGCAUCCGAUUUCUAAUAUCAAUGAUUUUAGUGUGGAGUCCAACAAGAAGAGCCAUAUCAGUACUGCUUUCACUUUCGUUUUCACUGUUUUGCUGCUGCAUUAUGUUGAUGAAGAAUCUGUCAAUGGCUUCCUCAGAUUCAUGGACAACGGGAUUGAUGUCCUCCAGAAUUUCCAAAAUAUCUGCUGUUUCAACGUCUUCUUCAUCGCUUUCUUCUAAGUCCAACAGUUGCAAAAAAGGCAAUGAUAUUUUAGAGUCAUCCAAAUCUUCUGUAAGGAGUUGAAACAAAUGCCGAGCCAUGUCAGCUUCAUAUUUUCCCAGCAGAGUACUAGCAAUAAUUUCGGACUCCGUAAGAAGGUUUUGACAAAGUGGAGUUAAAUUUGUUGAAUCUGGCAGCGGCAACGUGCCUUCUUCACCUGCUAACACCCUCUCCAACCUCUCACAAAACAGUCGGAGGUGGACGUCCAGCAUAUCUCCUUCUCUCCGCAGCACUCAGAGGUAUAGUUGAAAGAUUAAACACCAUGGAAGAAUUUGAAAGGAAAAUGCCAAGAAACUGUGUAAGUGGCUAAAUUCCACAAAUGCGGCAUUAUUGCUCAUUUUUUAACUCAAAAAAUUGAUACGCGUUCAUUUAGAGAAAAGUCCAAGACGCGUGCCUUUUGAAAAGAACAGGUAUCCCAAUCGGUAUACAACCUUUAUCUUAUUUAAUUACUACCAUGACAUAAUUGAUGGUGCUUAAAUCAAUUGUUUCUUUUUUAAUUUAAAGAAUUUUUCAUUAAAAAAAUAUUUUAAUAUCAAAUUGCCUUCAGUGGCGUAACUGCCUCAAGCCCAGUAACAGGACUAAUUAAAAAUUUUACAAUUUUUGGGCAUGGAAAUAAUAGUAUUAAACGUUAGAAAGGUGAGGUUGUUCUGUUAAAGAAUUGAUAUUGACAUAAUUUUAUUUUGGUUUUCGUGGAAAACAAAAAUUUGUUGACAAGCAAGAAAGUAUUUUUAUAUUUUAAAAUUUAUUAUGCAUAUUUUAUCAUAUUAAAGUAGUUUUAAUAAUAAAUAGAAACAUAAUAUUACGAUAAAUAAAUUAAAAUUUAACUUAUUUUGAAUAUUAUAAAAAAUAAUUUUAAUAUUAUUAAUAGGAAGACAUUUUGUUAAUUUUAAAAUUUUUUAACCCAAUGGUUUAUUUAAAAUCUUUAUUAUAAAUACAAAUAUAAAAUUAAAUAUCAUAAUUUAAAAUUUUUAAUAUUAUUUUAAGUAUUAAAAAUAUUUUAAUGUUAUUAGUCUACUACAUAGAUCAUAUUACUUAUAUAAUAUUUGUAUUAUUAAAAAUUCUUAAAAUCAAAUUUUUAGUUAGUAUAUUCAUGAGGUAUUAUGGUUAAAAAAAAAAGACCUUAUUGUUACUUUUUAAAAAAUUGAGGGCCUGCGUGAUAAUUUUUUCAAAAAGAAAAUGUAUCUAGGAGGGGGAUCCAGGUAGGGUACCACUGUGGUACCGUACCACGGGUUUUGUCUUUUGUGCCAGUAAUGUUGUAAAAUUUCAUUGAACCCCUUUCAUUUAUUUUUAUUUAAACUUUACCUCAUAAAUAUUAAAUUAAUUUCUAUUGCAUCCAUAUAAACAUUAUAAUAAGCACCUUAUACUAUUUGUUAUUUAUACAUUUUUCUUCUAUAUUGCACCUUUAUCACAAUACCCCCUCUUUAUCAAAAUACCGGCGAACCCGACCCGAAUUUCGUUUCCAUUUCCGUCCAUGCCACCGGCCAAGGUUGGUACCGAUCGGAAGAUCGUGCGACGCCGGUCAUCUCCACGCCAUCAUUGUCGCAAAAAUAACAAGGUCAACCCGACCCUCGAACCAGACCCGGAUUUUGUUUCCGUUUCCGGCUACUCCACCGGCCAAGGUUGGUACCAAUCGGAAGCUCGUGCGACGCCGGUCAUCUUCAUGCCAUCCUUGUCACAGUAAAGCAUUCGGAAAGCUGCCGAUCGAAGCCGUGAAAAGUCAUAGAAUUCCCGCUUCAAUUCACCACGGUUUCUCUGGUUUCCGGUGACGCCACCACUUGAGUUUUGUUCUCCACAGUUCCCUCUGUCUUUUCUGACCGACCACAGCCACCGGAGGAGCCGAUUUGUCGUUGAUCGGCCGUUGAAGGAUUCACGGGUUUGGGAGAAAUGAACUUAAUAUUUGUGAAGCAAAGUUCAAAUAUGAAUAAGUGAAAGGGCUUCAUGAAAUUUUAUACAGAAAAGACAAAAGCGGUGGCAUGGUGCCACUGUUGCACGAUAGGCGAGUCCCUAGGAGGGAUAGAGAAACAUGACUCCCAAAAUCUCUCACCCUUUUUUAAUUAAAAAAAUUAAAAUAUUAAUAAAAAUAAUAAAGAAAAUAGAAUUUUAUCUGCUCCUUACUCCAUUUUUGCAACUCUCUCACCAUCUCUGUCGAGCAGCCCUCUCUCUCACUGUCUCUCACUAUUUCACGAUCUCUCUCUCACUCACACAGGCAAUGACCAUCUCAUCGUCGGCGGUCGUGUCGUCAUUGUCACUGUUCUUGCUCGACCGAGAGACAGUGAGAGAGAGGUUUGUUAGAUGGAGUUAGUGAGAGAGAGUUGUAAAGAUGGAAUGAUGAUAAAGGAUUUUAAUUUUUUAUUGUUUUUUAUUAAUAUUUUAAUUUUUAAAAUUAAAAUGUGCUGCCGUUUCUCUCGCCUUUUUAACUGCUUAACUUAACAUUUUUUAAUUGUAAAAUCUUUUUAAUACAAAAAUUCAUUUAAAAUCUUUAUAAUAAAUACAAAUAUAAAAUUAAAAAAUAUCAUAAUUUAAAUUUUUUAAUAUUAUUUAAAUAUUAAAAAUACUUUAAUAUUAUUAGUCUACUACAUAAAAUAUAUUAUUUAUAUUAUAUUCGUAUUGAUUAAAACGUUUUAAAGUCAAAUUUUUAAUUAGUGUAUUCAAAGAUACAAAAGAUUUUAGUAUUAUUUUUUAAAAAUUUCAGGAUAUGAAUGAUAAUUUUUUUCAAAUUUUAACGAUGUAAGAAUCUUUUUUUCUGAUAAUUUAUUUCACUUUUGAGAGAAUCCGAAAACGUUAAUUUAACAUUCUUUACCUUUGUGAAAAAAGUGAAAAUCAAGAACUAUUCAAUUUUGUUUUUAUUUGUAAUUCAAAAUUUUAUUCAUUUUCGAUGCUUUUCAAAAGAGAUUCCUUUAAAUCCUUUUGGUGUCUGCAGCUCCUGCUAUUCUCAUAAAUCUCCAUCCCACAUCUACACUAUCAAACUAGUUGAUGGAAAUUCUUAUAAAAAAAAAAAAAAAAAAAAAAAAAAAGGUUGAUGGAAAUUGAUCAAUUACUUUUUGAAGUGGACCCAUUGAGUCAUGUUCAUUUCUGGUCAUUGUCUACUCUUUCUAUCAGCCAUUUAUUUUGACUAUUUGCGAUCUUAUCUGGACCAACUCCAAUUAUUUAUGUAACGAACUCCAAAGGUUGCAUCUACAGUUGAAUGUAAGAUAGCGAAAGCUCUUCUUUGAGAAAAUAGAGGAACCUUUCUCUGUUUCUCCGUUGCAACGUGCGCAUAUAAAUUUCUUUACCUUACAGUUUAUACGGUCUUGCUGUUAAUGAAUUCGCUGAGGCAUUAUUGAUCCAAUCUGAGUGAAGUAAUUGUGGGUGAAAAAUAAAUAAAAGGAUAUGAGAACGUAGCUGAAGUGCUGAAGGGGCUAUUAAAGAAGAGUGUCACUUGAUCACAAUCACAUUGAUGCACAACUCACUCGUGGCAAAUUUCGACUAUACGUUCUGCAAAUUCAGCCAAACCAUACAUGCAUGAACAAAACUAAAAUUAGAAAAAUGAGGGGUGAAUUGUUAACUCAGUAAAAAAAAAAAAAAAAACUCAUGCAUAAGAUUACUAAUAAUAUAAAUUAUAUAUUAAUCAUUGUAAAGAAUCAUAAAUUAGAAAAAUUAAUCAUUUUAUAAUUUAUUACACAAGUAAGAUAAAUCUUAUAAUAAGUUAUAACAUAAAAAACGUUAUCAAUAUAUAAUCAUUUAAGAAGUCAUUUAACAAUAAAAUCGUUCUUUGAUCAGUUGGUCAUGUCACAUAGUAUCAUCUAUAUUUAUGGUGAUAAUAUUAUUACUUAGUAUUAUCAAAAAACAUGAUUUAACAUUUAGAGGAAAUUCUUGCCUUUUAAAAAAAACAUCUAUGCAACAGCUACCCAUGCUUUAUCUUACCAUGAAAAAUAUUUUCUCAAUGAAAGAAAAUUUUUUAAAAUUUGAUUUAAUGCACAAAUAUGAUGAUUUUUGCAAAAAUUAGUUUUGGAAAACAUAGUGAGAGAAAAUAGUGACGAUUAUUGUUUAAAUGUAUAAAUAGCCUAAACAUAAUCCUUAAUACCAAUAUCCUAAUAUCCUAAUGCAUCUUAUCAUCUUUCAUGAUAUUCUUUGAUUUAUGUCCAUUGGUUCAAGAUUUGAAUUUGAUCAUUAAAUCAUGUUCAAUAAUAUUAGAGAUUCUAACAAAUGAGUACCAACUUAAAUCCCAAUGUUAUGUGUCAUUGACCAAUUUUGUGUCAUUUUGUUAUUAACUAGGUGAUGAAUUUCUAGUUGAUAAAAUCACUUAAAAAUAUCUUAAAAAUCAGACAAUAGUUUGCUUAAUUUUUCCAAGUUAACUGCUCAAGAUGCUCUAUUAUAAAUGAUAACCUAAUUAUAUUCAUAAAAAAAUGAUAUAUUUUUUGUGGUGUUGAUAAUGAGAUUAUCAUUCAACAUUUUAAAAUGUGAAAACAUAUGGAAGAUGGUUGUAAAUUGAUUGAAUGAAAAUAUUUCAGUGAAGUCUCAAAAAUUUGGUACUUGUUGUCUUAUCGAAAGUUUUCUAAAUUAUAUUCGUGGCACAGCCACUAUCCAAACCAUACAAGUCCAAAGCUAUCCAAACCAUACCUGCAAGUCCGGGGCUUAAAUGGAGUACUUCUAAGCAAAAAAACAUUGACUAAAAUAGAAUAUAUACAUACAGACACACAUACAUACCAGCAUAUUCAAAAUAGCAAAAGGAGUGCAAAAGUUCAAGUUUGUAGACAACAUUGCAACCAUAGCAUGUUUAUAGCAAACCUCAAAAUCUGCUAAAUAAAACAAUGCCCCGUCUCAUGAAUCAAUGCUGAAUUAAAAUUGAAACUGAAAGUCUGGAUGGUGUUGUUUGUUGAGAAUGUCAAAUAAAACGGCAUUGAAUGAAGUUUUCAAAGGCAGAAUCCGCACUUGUCAAAGACACGAUCCGCGCCGAACGGAUCGACACAGAAACCAAAUUCGUCCCACAACCAUUUUUUCCACCAUUUUCUUCCUUAAAACCAUUCUUACAGAAAUCCAUGCCGAUCAAAAAACAUGAAAGACAAAUUACACAUGUGCAGUAACCAAUGAUCAUAUUUCGUUACUGUCAAACACAAUGCAUCUGAGCAAAACAUUGGAAGCCAACACCAGAAUACAUAUGAAUAAACAAUUAAAGAUAGAGAAAAAAGGCUUAAACCUUGGGGGGAAAAAGUGAAAAAACAUGAAAGACAAAUUACACAUGUGCAGUAACCAUCGAACUUAUCAGUGACAGCUGCAUCCAUUACAUUGCUCCAACAACACAAUGGCAAACCACCAGUUUCAAAUUGAGGAUAGCUAUCGAGAAUGAGAAAGCGUCCAAAACGUCAUAAAUAGACAUGUUCCUAUUGUGCAUAAUUUACAUUAUAGGCAAAUAUUCUUAUACCGUCAAAGGCAAAACAUGACACUAACAAUUGAAUCCCCCCCCCCCCCCCCCCAAAACCAAAAAAAAAAAGGAAAAAACAAUACAGAAAAGAUCGAAACAGAUAAGGCUACACUGAGCACAGGAUGCCAUGAAACAUAAUCCAGGAACCAAAUUAAUAAAAAAGGAAGCCAAACCAUUAUUUAACAAUCUGUUUUGUAUCUGGGAAAGUCUGAUAAAAUCUACUUAGGGAUAAUUAGAGAACCUCAACUAUUAAUCACACCUCAUAAAUGAACUAACAUUAACCAUCUACCAUCCCCACGUCACACAAACAUUCUCUAUACUUCUGAACCUAAUACUUCCAUCUUCAAUCGGGGUUUUUUUUUUGGGGGGGGGGGGGGGGAGCUAUCAAUUUUCUAAGCUUGCUUAGCUUCUGUGUGGGAUUGAAAUGCUGAUUUCGAAUCACUAACAGUAAAAUUGGAAGCUCAUGAAAUAAUCAUGCAAUAGCUUAUUAUAUUGUUUUAGGUCAUUUUUUUCAACUAUUUUCUUGUUAAUAAAUGUCUUGAAAAGCUACAAGAUAAUAUUUCUCUUGCUGGUCGUGUGAAUAUGGAAGAGAUGGCCGAGAGCUAGGCAGCUAGCUAAUAGAAAUUUUUAUGCCUCAUACAUACUAAAUACAAGUCCAAAAGCAUUUCCCAUCUAGUCAAAAUAGAUAAAAAUUAAAGGCAUACGUAUGCUUUCUUAAUCAUCACACGCACUAAUUAAAUAUUAAUUGAAAAUCCUAGUUAAUCAGUAAAAUUAGCAACGGUGGCACCAGGCUUACAAGCCUUAGCCAUAGGGCUUGGGUGAACAAAAGGGCUGGGCCUCACGGGCUUCCCCAUAAGCUCUCCCGGCAGAUCCUUAAUGCCCUUCAAAUAAAAAGUAUAGAACAGCUUAAAUGGAAACACAAGUUGCUUCAGCUUAACCUGCCCACUCACUCCUUCAAAGAUCCCUGACCCUCCAGUCACAGCAAGACAAGUGUCCUUGUAUGUCAAAUAAGACCCCUGCACCGAUAUGUGACCGUAGUCUCCGAAGUAGAAGCUGUAUACGGCUUCGUAUCUGUCACCUUUCAUUGGCUUGUGCUGGAUCAAAAUGCAAAUUCCUGCUGUAAUUCCCACUCGCUUUUGCAAGUCUCCGCUAUAUAACUGCAAUACAUUAAAAAGAUUAUAUAUUAACAAUUCUAUGUAUACUAGUAACAAUAGAAUAAGCGAUAUUGGUGAUCAUGUUGCGGUAUAUCAUAUUGUCACCCAAUUUUUUUUUUUUUCAUAAUUGACGACUUCAACAAGAUUCACAUACGAUAAAUUACUAAUUUUAUAUCACAUCAGGUUAUAAUUUGUAUGAAGUAAUCUGAAUAUAGAACUUUUGUGCGUAUUAAUAUAAUUGAAACACGAAGGAUGAUUAACUUGCAAAACAAAUGGGUACUAUGAAAAAUUAAUUUACUUUGUUGCUAAAAGGGACAAGAUCACCGAGUGAAUUGAUGAAACAUUUCUUGCUCAACCGGAGAUAGGCUGGGCUCCCACGAUCUAGCUCGUUGAUCUCAUAAACAUACAAUUCUUGAACUUUGGCUACAAUUAAUCAAAGAUAAAACGGUAAAGAGAAUGAUUAACAAGAUACGUCAAAUUAAAAACAGAGGAAUGUUAAGAAAAAAAAAAAAAGAUACUAAUCAAAUUGUUUUAGCAAUUUGAUUGAAAGUGCGGCUGCACUAAUUUUCUAGAUGAAUUUUUCCUACAUGCUUGUUCUCGUAUGACCCAAAAUCCUGCUACAUCAGUUGUAUUAGAAAUUAAUCAACUGGGUUACAAUUAUGCAUCCCCACCAAUAUUUAAGCAAUUUAAUUACAGAAACAUUUCUUGGGGAAAGAAACUCAUAUCGCCACUAGGCUUUUAAUGAGGCUCAUUUUUAUGAAUCUGGAUGGCAUUAGAUAUCUCUACGAAUAUUGGUGGGAGUAGAUCGCAGAUCUCUGGGCUAUACUACAAAGUGUAUGUACGUUGACUCGCAAUAAAUACAAACGACUCUCUGAUAUGAUUCAAAACAUCAGUGCAUGCAUCAUUUUAACGAGAGAGAAUAUUCUAAGAACGAAAUUGAAGGUGCAAUCAGCAGCUAAAAUGAAGCCAGAAAUGUACACGCAUGAGGAAUUUUUCCUAGAAGAUUGAUAUUUCUUUGACUAGCAAACCAUACAAGUCCAAAGCUAGCCAAACCAUACCUGCAAGUCGGGGGUUUAAAUGGAGUACUUCUAAGCAUAAAACAUUAAUCAAAACACAGUACAGACACACACACACACCCCUACAUACAUACCAGCAAAAAUCCACUGAGAAAGUGGGAAAAAAAGAAAAUGCAUAUAAAAGUAUGAGUUAUCAGAUAAGAUUAAAACUCACCCAAUUCAAUCCAUCAGAUUCCAUAAGGAUAUAACUGGAUGUCAUACCGCCACUCCAUAUCCUUGAAAGUCCGUAGUGUUUGUCUCAACUCUGUCUGAGGCCAAUGUAAAUUCAAUUUGCGCAAGCUCUUUAUGCACCACAGCUCUUCUGGAAGCUUUCUCAAGUAAGCACAUGGGUUGACAAUUAAGCUUUCAAGUUUCGGCAUUGCUCCAGCCCCCAUCGUCCACUCAUCUAGCCAAUACAUUGAUUUCAGGUGCAAAACCUUAAGUUCGGGAAAGCUACUCAAGCCAACACAAGCAAGCUUUCUUCCUAAAUACGAGUUCUGCUUCAGUUUCAGCAGUCGAAGGCGUGGAAGAUUUUCCAGAAUUGGCAUGGGAUCCUCCUUUAGCUCAGUAUUUGAUAAGCUCAGUUGGAUCAGACUUGGGGGAAAUUGGUAUUCAGAUAGGACCAUCCGUGAGGGCUUGCUCUCAUUCACCAGCUUCAAGCAUUCAAGUUUGUGGAGUUCGCAAAGGCUUUUGGAAACCCCAGACUGAUAGUAACUCAAAUCUCCAGAUAUCCGAAGAGUCUGAACACUAGGUAGUCUGCCCAAUAUAUCAGGAGUACAACUACUAGGGUUUAAAGCUGAUAUGAAAAUGAGAUUUUUCAGAGAGCUAGAAUAAUUUUUUGGAGGUGCGGGCAGAGUGAUAGAACCAAAGUUUAGAUGCAUGAGUUUUUGCAUCAUCCAAAUAUCCUCUGGUGAAUGAUCUAUGUCGCUAGAUGGCAUUUCUAGUGUUUGAAGGUUUAAAAGGGUGCAUAGCAUUGAAGGAAGGCAUUUGAGCGAAGGGAUAUUCAAUUUCAAAUACUUCAAAAGGAAUAAAUUUUCUAAUCCGGGUGGAUAUUGGUCCAGGACUGCAGAACCCAUGUUCAGUACCCGAAGGUAUUUGAACAUUUUACAAAAGUUCUCGCAAUCUAUCAGAGCGAGACGAUCGCUUUCUGAACUGUGAUUCAGAAAAGAUUGGAGAUACAUGUCAGAAUGUUCUAGAGAAAGGAACUCAAUCAGACGUUCCACAAUGAAGCACCGUUUAACAUUUGCCGUUGAUUCCUCUUCCAUGUCAGGCGUCCAGACAAAUCCCGCCUUCUUUGCCACAAAAUACAAUGAAGUAUAUACAAAACUUGGAACAUAACACGCUUUAAUUGUGCCGCCGGCGCUUCUCUUACUCACUUGAAUGAAGCCGCGAUGGAUUAGUUCUUUCAAGAAAUGGUCGGCAGUUUCUUCACCGUUGUAUGGUACGAAACCUUCAGCUACCCACAACUGAUGUAAUUGCCUCCUGGAUAUCUCAAUACUUGGAGGGAAGACACACAAAUAGAUGAAGCAGACUUUCAAAUGAAAAGGUAACUCCAUCACAGAAAAAAUUUGUCUCCAAACUGUCGGAAUCGCUUCGCCUUGAAGAUAAUUUUCUAAUGGCAUACUUCCAUAGUGUAGGAUGAAAAAUUGCCAGGCUUCAUGCUUUAAUCUGAUCAAUGGUCCUCCAAAGAGCACUGAAUCACGCCGAAUCUUCUCUCCGUUUUCCAUUUCCAACGACGCAAGGAGGUCUGGAUCAGUGACCAAUAUCAAUACUCUGCUUCCAUUCUGAUUACCAGGAAGAACUUCUUCAAGAUCAUCCCAUAUCUCACGUUCAUUGAAGACAUCAUCAAGCACAAUAAAGUACUUCUUGUUGGUUAGGUAAUCUCGAAGAACAGAUUUCUUCGAUUGAUAAUCUUCACCGAUAAUUACACUAACCCGAGAUGGAGGCAUCACAGACUUGAUUAUGUCAUCCAAUAUCUUGCCAAAAUCGUAGGCUAAGGAAACCCUGACCCAAGCAAGACAGUCAAAAUAGAACUUGACGUGAUCAUUAUUGUAAGUAUCUGCAGCAAAAACAGUCUUGUCGAAGCCACUGCUGUCGAGAAUUGCAACCGCUGCAAGCCCAGAUGGUCCCUCAAUCAAUAGAUCAAACAACUCCUCUCUGCCCCUUUCAAAUUCAUUGAUAUCAAGCCGAGGUUGUCCCUCACUCAAUAGGCGAAUGAUUUCGUUACUUUUUUCACUGAUAUCAAAACCAUUGUCGCCGGGUGGAAGUUGUUGCAUCCGAUUUCUAAUAUCAAUGAUUUGACUGUGGAGUCCAUCAAGAAGAGCCAUAUUAGUGCUGCUUUCACUUUCGUUUUCACUGUUUUGCUGCUGCAUGAUGUUGAUGAAGAAUGUGUCAAUGGCUUCCUCAGAGUCACGGACAAAGUUAUUGAUGUCCUCCAGAAUUUCAAAAAUAUCUGCUGUUUCAACGUCUUCUUCAUCGCUUUCCUCUAAGUCCAACAGUUGCAAAAAAGGCAAAGAUAUUUUGGAGUCAUCGAAUUCUUCUCUAAUGAGUUGAAACAAAUGCCGAGCCAUGCCAGCUUCAUAUUUUCCCAGCAGAGUAGUAGCAAUAAUUUCGGACUCCGUAAGAAGGUUUUGAAAAAGUGGAGUUAAAUUUGUUGAAUCUGGCAGCGGCAACGUGCCUUCUUCACCUGCUAACACCCUCUCCAACCUCUCACAAAACAGUCGGAGGUGGACGUCCAGCAUAUCUCCUCCUCUCUGUAGCACCCAGAGGUAUUGUUUUUUUGCUCCAAGAAAUAUUAAAAGGAUUGGUUCUAUCUCAAAGUGGUUACUGGUGUAAAAUUAAACGACAUGGGAGAAUUUGAAAGGAAGAUGCCAAGGAACUGGCGAAGUGGCUAAAUUCCACAAAUACGGCAUUAUUGCUCAAUUUUAAGUCAAAAAAUUGAUACGCGUUCAUUUAGAAGAGGUAUCCAACCUUUAUCUUAUUUUAAUUACUACCACGACAUGAUUGAUGGUGUUUAAAUCAAUUGUUUCUUUUUUAAUUUAAAGAAUUUUUCAUUAAAAAUAUUUUAAUAUCAAAUUGCCUUCAAUAGCGUAACUGCCGCAAGCCCAGUAACAGGAUUAAUUAAAAUUUUUUGAAUUUUCGGGCACGGAAAGAGUAGUAUUAGACUUCAGAAAGCUAAGGUUGUUAUGUUAAAGAAUUGAUAUUGACAUAAUUUUAUUUUGGCUUUCGGGUAAAAAAAUAUUUGUUGACAAGCAAGAAAAUAUUUUUGUAUUUUACAAUUUAUUAUACAUAUUUGAUCAUAUUAAAGUAAUUUUAAUAAUAAAUAGACACAUAAUAUUACAAUAAAUAAAGUAAAGUUUAAAUUAUUUUGAAUAUUAUAAAAAAAUAAUUUUAAUAUUAUUAAUAGGAAGACAUUUUGUUAAUUUUAAAAUCUUUUUAACCUAAAGGUUUAUUUAAAAUCUUUAGAAAUCUCCAUCCCACAUCUACCCUAUUAAACAAGUUGAUGGAAAUUGAACAGUUGCUUUUUGAAGUGGACCCAUUGAGUUAUGUUCAUUACUGGUCAUUGUCUAUUCUUUCUAAGAGCCACUUGUUUUGAGCAUUAGCAAUCCUAUCUGGACUACUCCAAUUAUUGAUGUAACUCCAAUGGUUGCAUCGACAGUUGAAUGUAAGAUAGUGUUAGUUCUUUUUUGAGAAUUUCUUUAUUUGUUUCUCCGUUGCAGCGUAUUAGUAUAAAUUUCUUUACCUUACAGUUCCUACAGUCUUCCUGUUAAUGAAUUCGCUGAGGCAUUAUUGAUCCAAUCUCAGUGAAGUAAUUGUGGGUGAAAAAAAAAAUAAAGGAUAAGAGAACGUAGCUGAAUUGACUAUUAAAGAAGAGCGUCACCUGAUCACAAUCACAUUGAUGCACAACUCACUCAGAUCAUUACAACGUCCUUUUCGCUAAUUAAUUAUGAUUAUAUACAUUUUCAUAUGGCAAGUGGCAUUGUAGAUCUAAACUACGUUGCUAUUUCAUUACGUUAAUUAAGUGAUUCUCCUGAUUGUCAUCAGCGCUAUACCCUCUAGGAAAAUAGCUCAAUUGUUUUCCUGCAUUGAUUUUCAUUGGUAUGUGAUUUCUUAUGAAAUUCUUUUGAGCUUUCCUUAAUUAGACUUUUGAAAAUAGAAUUAAACAUUAGAUUAAAAUAAAAUAGAAUUAAACAUUGGUAUGUGAUUUCUUAUGGAAAGAGUAGUAUUAAACAUUAGAAAGCUAAGGUUGUUCUGUCAAAGAAUUGAUAUUGGCAUAAUUUUAUUUUUGCUUUCGAGUAAAAAAAAAAAAAAUUGUUGACAAGCAAGAUACUGUUUUUAUAUUUUACAGUCAGUUAUACAUAUUUUAUCAUAUUAAAGUAAUUUUAAUAAUAAAUGGAAACAUAACAUUACAAUAAAUCAAUUAAAGUUUAAAUUAUUUUGAAUAUUAUAAAAAAUAAUUUUAAUAUUAUUAAUAGGAAGAUAUUUUGUUUAUUGUAAAAUCUUUUUAACCCAAAGGUUUAUUUAAAAUCGUUAUAAUAAAUAAAAAUAUAAAAACAAAAUAAAUAUCAUAAUUUAAAAUUUUAAUAUUAUUUUAAAUAUUAAAAAUACUUUAAUGCUAUUAGUCUACUACACAGGUUAUAUUACUUAUAUUAUAUUUGUAUAAAUUAAAACUUUUAAAGUUAAAUUUUUAAUUACUAUAUUGAAAAGGUAUUAUGGUUAAAAAAAGUUUUGGCAUUUCUUUUUGAAAAUUUGAGGGUCUGCAGGACAAUUUGUCCAAAUCCUAGAGGUAUAGGUGUCUUUUUUUUUUCGAUAAUUCAUUUUACUUUUGAGGGAAUCUGAUGAGAAAUAAGAUAAGAGAAACGUCAAUUUAACGUUCUCUACGGAAAACCAAGAACUAUUCAAUUUUGUAUUUUUUGUUUGUAAAACGAAAAACAGUUUGCCAAAAAAGGUACCAAACAUAUCCUUAAUGUCUCACAUGAUUUCUUAUUAAGUCCAUACUCGAUAUAUUUAUACAUUUUAGGUAUUUUAGUUAUAAAAGAAGUUGGUCCUCCCUCUGUUUAUAAAAGGUAACUUUAUUUCGAGAUUACCACUAAAGUCUUACAAUGAAUUAGUGUAAUGUUAAGAGAGAGUAACACAAUUUUUCAUUACCAUUUUGAAAAUAGAAAGAUAUGGAUGUGUGCAUUUAAUGGUGCGUUUACUUGUCGGAUUGGGGAAUCGGAAUGAUUGAUGGUGUUUACUUCGCAAAUAUGGAGCAGGAAUCGAAAUUGAAAUGGUGGGGCCCACUACUAUUUGGGAAUGGGAGAUUGAUUCCCAUGGGGGAAGGUGUGAAUAGGGAUGGCAAAUUUUUCCGGAUCUGGCUCGGACCCGGAUAAACCCGGAUGAUCCGGUCCGGGUUGAACCCGGACGGGAUGUAUAAAAAUGCGGAAUCCGGAACCCAUUUUACAAACCCGCACAUGUCCGGGUCCAGUUCCGGUUUUAGGCGAACCCGUAUGUCCGGAAUCCGGACCCGGAUAUUUAUUAAUUUUAAUAUUAAUUUUUAAAAAAAUAUUUUUAAUAUAAAUAGAAAAAAAAAAGAACCCAGAGGUGCCCUAGGGCUUCAUUCAUUCACAGCCGCAGCAACACAUUUCCUCUCCCUCUUCAACUUGUCUUCAUCAAAUCAAAUCGUCGUCACACUCACUUGCCCACCUUCGCAGCUCAUCAUCAUCCUCAUCAGCUUGUCUUGGCGUCUUGCCCACCUUUGCGUUGCAGCUGUUCAUUAUCAUCAUCAUCAGCUUGUCUUGGCGUCUGACUCUUGCCCACCUUCGCGUCGCGGCUGUUCAUCAUCAUCAUCAACUCGUCUUGCCAACUUUUGCGGUUGUUCAUCAUCAAAUCAUCGCCGUCGUCACUUGUAUCAGCCGCCGUCACGAACAAUAACUAGCUUCGAUACAAUCAGAAGUAGCGAGCUUGCCUUCACCGGAUGCCAAUCCUUAAAGUUCGUGAAUGCCAAAUCGGUUCGAACCAAGCUUAUUUGUAUUUGGUUAGUUUAGGCCAUGGAUUUGUAUUUAAUUUGCUGAAAUCCUAGAUUUGUAUUUCCAUUUGUCAGUUGAAUUUAGUUUUUUUUUUUAAAUUAGAUUCAUCAAUCCGGGUUGGAAACCCGCAAUCCGGAAACCCGGUUUUUCCGGGUUGAAUCCGGACCGGACCCGGAGUGAAAAAAUGCGGGUUAUGUCCGGGUCCGGUAUAGAAAAAUAAUCGUCCGGGUCCGGAUCCGGAAAGGCUGAACCUGGACCCGGACCCGGACCCGGAUUUUGCCAUCCCUAGGUGUGAAUGAGUCUCCCAUUCCUGGAUUGACCAUUUUGCCCUCCCUCAAAAUUAAAAAUGCCUACUUUGUCCUCUUUUAUAAUUAAUUAAUAUAAUAUUAUAAUUAAUUAAUAUAUAAAUAUUUUAUUAACUAUAAUUAUUAAAAAUUAUAGUUCUUGAAUAAAUAAUCACAAUAAUUAAUUUAUUAUUAUUAUUGUUAUUUUAAUUAAUUAAUUAAUAUACUAUUAUAAUAAUUAUUAAUAUAAUUAAUUUAUAUAUUAUUAUUAUUAAUGAAUUAAUAUAAUUAUUACUAUUAAUUAAUAUAUUAAUAUAUUAUUAACAAUAAUAUAUUAAUAAUUAUUGUUCGUGAAUAAAUAAUCACAAUAAUUAAUAUAUUAUUAUUGUAAUUAAUUAAUUAAUAUACUAUUAUAAUAAUUAUUAAUAUAAUUAUUAUAAUUAAUUCAUAUAUUAUAAUUAAUUAAUUAAUAAAAUUAAUAUUAUUAAUUAAAUAAAUAAUAUAAUUAUUACUACUAAUUAAUAUAUUAUUAAAAAUAAUUAUUAAUAAUUAUAAUUUUUGAAUAAAUAAUCACAAUAAUUAAUAUAUUAUUUUAAUGAAGUAAUUAAUAUUAAUAUUAUUAGUUAAUAUAUUUUGAUAAUAAUUUUUAAUAUAGUUAUUAUAAUUAAUUAAAUUUUUUUACAAUUAAUUAAUAUAUUAGUUAAUAAUAAUUAUGACAAUAAUCUAUUAAGUACUUUUUAGUAAUUUAUUACAAUAUAAUUCAUUCCGAUUCCGAUUUCAAGACAAAGUAUACACAUUAAUGGCAAUCUAGCUCAUUCCGAUUUUGAUUCCUACAGUUCAAGUAAACAACUUAUUUUAAUUCCCAUUACUUAUUUCCAUUCCAGCCCAUUCUCAUUUCUGUCCAUUCCGAUUCCAGCUAAUUCCGAUUCCAGUUUAGUAAACGCAGCAUAAGAGUUAUCAUGAAAAUCAUACAAUUCAAUUUCCUGAAAUAUAUAUUUUAUUCACAUGUGCCAAAAGAAUAAAUAGAUAGAAAGUAAAUUUACAAUCCUCACUCCCUCACAAUUGUUAAAGUGAAUAUGCAUUACAACUGUGAACUGUCACUACUUUAGCCCUUUUUAAAAAAAAAAAAAAAUUAUAGUGUGAUCGAGACAGUGAACAUCAAGGAUAAAGUGCUCUGCUGGAAGCCAAACUUCCUUUGGCUUUCGGGGAAAAAAAUAUUUGUUGACAAGCAAGAAAAUAUUUUUGUAUUUUACAAUUUAUUAUACAUAUUUGAUCAUAUUAAAGUAAUUUUAAUAAUAAAUAGACACAUAAUAUUACAAUAAAUAAAGUAAAGUUUAAAUUAUUUUGAAUAUUAUAAAAAAUAAUUUUAAUAUUAUUAAUAGGAAGACAUUUUGUUAAUUUUAAAAUCUUUUUAACCUAAAGGUUUAUUUAAAAUCUUUAGAAAUCUCCAUCCCACAUCUACCCUAUUAAACAAGUUGAUGGAAAUUGAACAAUUGCUUUUUGAAGUGGACCCAUUGAGUUAUGUUCAUUACUGGUCAUUGUCUAUUCUUUCUAAGAGCCACUUGUUUUGAGCAUUAGCAAUCCUAUCUGGACUACUCCAAUUAUUGAUGUAACUCUAAUGGCUGCAUCCACAGUUGAAUAUAUGAUAGUGUUAGCUCUUAUUUGAGAAUUCAGAGGGAUAUUUCUAUGUUUCUCAAUUGCAAUGUGCUAGUAUAAAUUUCUUUACCUUACAGUUUAUAUAGUCUUGCUGUUAAAGAACUCACUGAGGCAUUAUUGAUUCAAUUUCAGUGGAGCAAUCGCGGGUAGAGGAUAAAUAAAGGAUAACAGAACAGAGCUGAAGUGCUAAAUUGGCUAUUGAAGAAGGGUGUCACAUGAUCACAAUCACAUUGAUGCACAACUCUCUGGAGGCAAAUUUUGUCUAUAUGUACUCUAAAUUCAUCUAAACCAUACAUGCAUGAACAAAAAUUAAACCGUAGUUCUCAUCACAACAGUAAUUGAAGCUACAAAAGCCAGCAAAUCUGAACAAAAACUUAAAAGGAAGAUCUUAUUCAAAUUUGUCCCCAAAAGAGAGCUGAGAUGAAAAAUAUUGACUAAUGAAUGGGUCAAUGCUGGAUACAUUUCAAAUGGAAAGCUUGGCAGCAGUUACAAUGUUUCCCCCUCAGCUUUUCCUCCAAAACAAAUUCAGUUGUAAACAAUAACCGAAGUAGAGAUAAUUCAUUCAUCAAAGAAAAUACCCAAGUUUUCAACUAACAAAUCCUCUUGUCUAAACUAAAAAAACUCGUAUCUCUAAAAUUUAUUUGCAAAAUGUUGGAAAUGAGGAGUGAUCCGUUAACUCCAUAAAUAAACUCAUGCAUAAUGUUAACAAUAAUGAUAAAUUACAUAAUAAUUAUUGUAAAGAAUUAUAAAUUGGAAACGCUAAUCAUUCUACAAUCUAAUAAAUAAGUAAGAUAAAUCUUGUAAUAAGUUAAGUUAUAAUGUAUAAAUAUUUUCAAUAUAUAAUUAUUUAAGAAGUCAUUUAAUAAUAAAAUAUUUAUUCUAUUCAGUUGAUCAUAUAGCGUUAUCUAAACUCUUGACGAUAUUAUUAUUACACUUUUCUCAAAAAAACAUGAUUAACAUUUAGAGAAAAGUCAUGCCUUUUAGAUAGAAUAUGUACAUAAGCUAUCCAUACUUUAUCUUACCAUGAAAAAAUUGAUGGUGAUUAAAUCUACUUUUAAAAUAGAUUUAAUGCACAAAUAUGAUGAUUUUUGGCAAAAAUUAGUUUCGGAAGAUACAAUGGUAGAAAAUAGUGAUGAUUAUUGUUUAAAUGUGUAAAUAGCCUAGGCAUAGCCCGUAAUACCAAUAUCCAUUUACCUUCAUUUAGAUUAUCACAUCUCAUAAUAUUUUUUCAUUCACGACCAUUGUUCGAGAUUUGAACUUGAUCAUAAAUUAAGCUGCAACGGAGUCUACUUAUGUUUCUAAGCUUUUCAAUCGCGAUUCCUCCAUGCCUUUCUUGGAUACCAUUUUACUGACCUUGUAAUUGGUGUGUAUAAGGAAUCAUGCCCUUUCAGGAUUGUUUUCUUUUUCUUUUUUUUUUCCUUAUUGUAGUGUCAAAUAAAUAAAGAACGAACAAUUGAACUUAGUCUAUUUCGAGGAAAACCAAGGCCUGCAAUAUUAGAUGAACUUUGAACAAAAUUAAUCUACUGCUUUUAGGCAAUGAUAACGUAGUUAUUUAUAUACAGUAUAAAUGAUAUUUUUUUGUCGAACGAGACUGUCAUUCAACAUUUAAAAUAUAAAACAUGUGGAAGAUGUUGUAAAUUGAUUGAAUGAAAAUAUCCCAAUGAAGUUUAGAAAAUUUGGUACUUGUUAUCUUAUCGAAAGUUUUCUAAAUUAUACGACUGUUUAAACUUAGCCCCUCCAGGUACUGCCACUUCUUCUACAUGAAAGUCAUAUAAGUUUGUGUUAGCUGCCUAUAGAUUGCAUAACAAUUUUCCUCAGGAAUUGUUGUCCAUUAUGGCAAUUUGAUUGAAAGUGCGGCUGCACUAAUUUUCUAGAUGAACUUCCCUGCAUGUUUGUUCUCAUAUGACCCAGAAUACUGCUAUAACAAUUGUGUUGGAAAUUAUUCAACUGGGUUACUAACUUACUAUUCUACAUCCCCACCAAAAUUUAAACAGUCGACAUUGUGGAAAGAAACACAUUUCGCCACUAGGCUUUUAGUGAGGCUAAUUUCUCUGAAUUUGGACAGAGUAGGUCCUCCAACGAGAACUGAAUCAGGACGAAUCGGCUCUCCAUUUUCUAAUUCGAACGAGCAAAGGAAGCCUGAAUCUGUGACCGUUAUCAAUAUUCUGCUUCCAUUCUGAUUCUCAGGAAGUACUUCUUCAAGAUCAUCCAAUACAUCGUCACCCUCUUUGUAGUAAUCAUCAAGCACAACAAAGUACUUCUUGUUUGUUAGGUAAUCUCGAAGAAUAGAUUUCUUCAAUUGAUAAUCUUCACCGAUAAUUAAUCUUCAAUUGAUCAUAAAUUAAGCUGCAACGGAGUUUACUUAUGUUUCUAAGCUUUUCAAUCGUCAUUCCUCCAUGCCUUUCUUGGAUACCAUUUUACUGACCUUGUAAUUGGUGUGUAUAAGGAAUCAUGCCCUUUAAGGAUCUUUUUUAUUUUUUUUUUUCCUUAUUGUAGUGUCAAAUAAAUAAAGAACGAACAAUUGAACUUGGUCUAUUUCGAGGAAAACCAAGGCCUGCAAUAUUAGAUGAACUUUGAACAAAAUUAAUCUACUGCUUUUAUUCAUCUUUGGACUAUGAAUUUAUACAAAGACUUUAACAGAAAAUAACAAAGACACAGCUACAUGAUACCAAUAAGUGCUGACUUAGUGGACUACUUCUACAACUAAAUAAAAACUAAUUAUUUAUUUUGAUUGUAAUAGCAACUACCCUGAUGAAUAGGACUCCACAACAACCACGUGACAAUUAAUUUCUCCUUAAUAUUAUUAUUAGUAGAAGUAGAUUUUCAAACUAGUCUUGAUAUAUGACAAAGUUGUAUUAUCAAUGUAUAUGCAUUUAGAUUGUAACUAUAUUUUUUUUAAAACAAAUUUAAUUAUUGCACAGUAAAUGUGGAAAAAUAUCUAUAAAAUAAUAUUAUUUACUAUGAAAAAAUAUUAUUUUAGAUAAGUUAUUUAUUUAUUUAUUAUUGAAUGAAUAAUUUAUUAAUUUAUUGAUAAAUGAAUAUUUAUUAAUUUAAAGAGAGAUUAUUUUUCUUUUAAGAAGAGUUUGUUUGGUACAUGUAUACACUUAUUAAUUUAUUGAAGAUGUCCAGCAAUUAAAGAUCUCUGUCUCAAUACUUUUCCCAAUCAAAAUCAAGAAACAAAAAAAAACUUGCCAUUUUUCUACUUGAUAAUUAAUUGAAAUUUAAGAAAAUACAAUGGCAUUUCAAUUAGAAUUGGUAAUUGUUUAUCUUUUUUUCAUUGAUCAAAUUCAAAUCUUUAUCCAAUAGUUAUAAAUGAAAGAAAUAUUAUGAGAGGAGAUAGGCCAAUUGAAGCCGUACCAGCAAAUAAAAAAUAGAAAAGGAGUGCAACUAUUCAACUUCGUAGACAAUAUUGCAACCAUCCAAAGGUGAAGAUCUAUGCUUAUUAUCUAUUUAACAGCUAUAUAUAUAUAUAUUUAAAUAUCAAGAGCUAUGCUUGUAAAUAAGUUCAAAUGUGAUGAGAACAACCUUAUAUUUAUUUAUUUAAAUAUGACCCAGGCUAAUUUCUCUGAAUUGGGACAGAGUAGAUUUCUAAGCUAAUGCUUGGCAGAUCUCUGGACGAUACUACAAAGUGCAUGUACAUUGAGUCUUAAUAAAUAUAAACGAUUCUCUGAUAUGAUUCAAAACAUCACUACAUGCAUAAAUUAAUAAGAAAUGUAUAGUUGUACAUAAUUUUAUGCAUGAGGCAGUUUUUAUAGUUGUACCCUCUCUAAUGAAAUUGAAGGUGCAGCCAGCAACUAAAAUGAAGCAGAAAUGUACACGCAUGAGGCAGUUUUUUUAGAAGAUUGAUAUUUCUUUAACUAGAAAGCCAUACAAGUCCACAGCUAGCCAAACCGUACCUGCAUGUGUCUAGGGCUUAAAUGGAGCACUUCUAAGCAUAAAACAGUAACUAAAACACAUACACAAACAUACAUACCAAAAAAUUCAAAAAAUAGAGAAAGGAACACAACUAUUCAUGUUUGUAGACAAUAUUGCAACCAUGGCAUCAGUUAUAGCAAAUAUUGAAUUACAAUAUUUCCCUUGACGAUUUUGUCUACACAAGUAAAGGGAAAUAAGAAUCAUAGAUGAAAAUCAACUUUUACGGUUCUAAUUAUUAGAUAGAUACAGAAUGAUCUAUCUUUGUUACUUUGUUUCUCUGCUGCAAUGUGCGAUCCCACUCUGUUUUGAUACUCAAAUUGACUCUAUGUGGAGACAUAAUUUUGACAUUGGAAGCAAUCCCAAUUAGUUUGGCAUUUGUAUCACCCUUUGAAGGUUUUACAAUAGAUGCAAAUCUACUGAGAAAAUGGUAAAAAAGUUGCAUAUAAAAUGAGGCAAUUAACAGAAGUAUGAGUUAUCAGAUUAGAUUAAAAGUCACCCAAUUCAAUCUAUCAGAUUCCGUACGGAUAUAACUGGAUGUCAUACCUCCACUCCAUAUCCUCGAAAGUCCGUAGUCUUUGUCUCAACUCUGUUUGAGGCCAAUGUAAAUCCAAUUUGCACAAGCUCUUUAUGCACCAUAGCUCUUCUGGAAGCUUUCUCAAGUAAGCACACGGGUUGACAAUUAAGCUUUCAAGUUUUGGCAUAGCUCCUGCCCCCAUCGUCCACUCGUCUAGCCAAUACAUUGACUUCAGGUGCAAAGUCUUAAGUUCCGGAAAGCCACCAGAGCUAACGCAGGCCAGCUUUCUUCCUAAAUACGAGUUCUGCUUUAGUUUCAGCACUUGAAGGCGUGGAAGCUUUUCCAGCAUUGGCAUGGGAUCCUCCAUUAGCUCAGUAUUUGAUAAGCUCAGUUGCAUCAGACUUGGAGGAAAUUGGUAUUCAGACAGGACCAUCCGUGAGAGCUUGCUCUCAUUCACCAACUUCAAGCAUUCAAUUUUGUGGAGUUCGCAUACGCUUUUGGAAACCCCAGAGUGAUAGCAACUCAAAUCUCCAGACACUCUAAGAGUUUGAAGAUUAGGUAGUCUGCACAAUAUAUCUGGCGUGCAACUACUAGGGUGUAAGGCUGAUAUGAAAAUAAGAUUUUUCAGAUUGAUAGAAUAAUUUUUUGGAGGUGCAGGCAGAGUGAUGGAACCAAAGUUCAGAUGCAUGAGUUUUUGCAUCUUCCAAAUAUCCUCUGGUGUUUGAUCUACGUAGCUAGAUGGCAUGUCUAGUGUUUGAAGGUUUGAAAGGGUGCAUAGCGGUGAAGGAAGACAUUUGAGCGAAGGGAUAUUCAAUUUCAAAUACUUCAAAUGGAAUAAAUUUUCUAAUCCGGGUGGAUAUUGGUCCAGGACUGCAGAACCCAUGUUCAAUACCCGAAGGUGUUUGAACAUUUUACAAAAAUUCUCGCAAUCUAUCGGAUUAAGAUGAUCGCUUUCUGAACUGUGAUUCAGAAAAGAUUGGAGAUACAUGUCCGAAUGUUUCAAAGAAAAGAAUUCAAUCGGAUCAUCGAAAAUGAUGUACCGUUUGGCAUUUGCCAAUGAUUCCUCUUCGAAGUCAGGCGUCCGGACAAAUCCCAUCAUUGCUGCCGUCCCAAGUAACGCAGCAUAUGCAAAAGUUGGAACAUAACUGAUGGGUGUCGAAGCCAACAAAAAUAAAUUCCUACUCUAAAUAAAUUGUGUAUAGUGAUUGAGCAGGGUCGUGUCCACAGAGAUCGGUAAUUAUUUAAAUCCUUUUGAAACGUAAAACGUAAAAUGGGGGAAUUGUAGACAAUAAUAAAAAUCAAAUUAAAUAACAAGAAUGCAAAUUAAAGUUGUAAUUCAAAUUGGAGAAAGCUCUGGUUGAAGGAAUUAACUAAGCUUGAUUCGACUACUGAUCAUUGAUUCAAAUAUAGAUUAUUAUUACUCAUGAAUAGACCGGUUAUAGCUAUUGAGACCCUCUAAUAGCCAAUCUCUCCUUAACUAGUCGAUAACCAAGGUACGACCGUUGGAUAUUUCCCUAAUCAAUAGACAACCCUAGAUACGAUCAUAUGAUUUAAUCAAUUGACAGCCUGAAAAAUCAGAGAGACCCAAAUCCUAAUUAACACAUAUGAUGAUUCAUUUAAAUUAGAUUGUUUAUUCUCACAACACAACUCUCUGCUAUGUUAUUUGUCACAAACAUCAAAUUCUUCAUACGAUGAAUCCUUUAAUUGACAAUAGAUUAAGUUGAUAAUUAAAUAGUGGCCAAUUACCUAAUUAACAAACAUAAUCAUAAAAAUAAUUCAGAGAAUAAACAAAUACCCAAAAAGUAAUAAAACAAUUAAAGCACAAGAAAGAUCUCACAGUAGUGAUGAAUCAAAGCUUCAUUAACCUUCAACCAGAAAAAUGGGUUUAGUUCCUCAUAGAGAGAAUAGAAAAAUUAGAUCUAGGGUUCUUUUUCUCCAAUCCAAAAAUCCCCCUUUUUCACAAUAGAUUCUUCCCUUAAAUACUCUCUCUCUCUUCUCUUUUAGAAUUCUAUUUAAAAUAAAAUACUAAUAUCUGAAAUAUUAAAUUCGUAAUUACAAAAAUAACCAAAAAUACAAAACACGUUAAACUAAAAACUGCAGGUCCGCAGUUGACAGCACGCGCCCACGCCUUAUCAACAAAGUUCUUCUGACGCUCAUAAUUUCUCCAAGAGAACAAUCCUCCUUAAACAUCAUCUUUUAGCUCAAUUUUAUCACCAAUCAAUAGAAUUGCACCUACAAAAGUAAAACACAAGUAAAACAUUAUUAUUAAAUGCAAAACAUCGAUAUUAAGGGAAGUAAAUAAUGCAAAACUAGUGCAUAAAUUGCACUCUAACAAUAACACGCCUUACUUGUGCCUCCGGCUCUUCUCUUAUUCACUUGAAUGAAGCCGCAAUCGAUUAGUUCGUUCAAGUAAUGCUCGGCAGUUUCCUCACUGUUGUAUGGUGUGAAACCUUCAGCUACCCACAACUGAUAUAAUUGCCUGGUAGAUAUCUCAAUGCCUGGAUGGAACACACACAAAUAGAGGCAGCAGAUUUUCAAGUGAGCAGAUAGCUCCAACACAUAAUAAAUUCGACUCCAAGUUGUCAGAAACGCUUUUUCUCCCAUGUAAAUUCUUAAUGUCGUUUUUCCAUAGUAUAGGAUGAAAAAUUGCCAGGAUUCAUGCUUUAAUCUGAUCAAUGGUCCUCCAACGAGAACUGAAUCAGGACGAAUCGGCUCUCCAUUUUCUAAUUCGAACGAGCAAAGGAAGCCUGAAUCCGUGACCGUUAUCAAUACUCUGCUUCCAUUCUGAUUCUCAGGAAGUACUUCUUCAAGAUCAUCCAAUACAUCGUCACCCUCUUUGUAGUAAUCAUCAAGCACAAUAAAGUACUUCUUGUUUGUUAGAUAAUCUUGAAGAAUAGUUUUCUUCAAUUGAUAAUCUUCACCGAUAACUACACUAACCCGAGAUGGAGGCAUUACAGACUUGAUUAUGUCAUCCAAUAUCAUGCGAAAAUCGUAGGAUAUAGAAACCCUGACCCAAGCAUGACAGUCAAAAUAGAACUUGACAUGAUUAUUAUUGUAAGUAUCAGCCGCAAAAGCAGUCUUAUCAAAGCCACUGCUGUCGAGAAUUGCAACCACUGAAAGCUGAGGUUGUCCCUCGAUCAGUAAAUCAAACAACUCCUCUCUGCCGCUUUCAAAUUCAUUCUUAUUAAGCUGAAAUAAUAUCAACUUCGCUCUUUGAAAUCAAAACCAUUGUCUCUAGGUGGAAGUUGUUUCAACUGAUUUCUAAUAUCAAUGAUUUUACUGUGGAAUCCAACAAGAAGAGCAAUGCAAGUAGUGCUUUCACUUUCACUGCUUUGUUGCUGCGUGUUGUUGAUGAAGAAUGUGUCAAUAGCUUUCUCAGAUUCAUCGACAAAGUAAUUGAUGUCUUUCAGAAGUUCCCUAAUGUCUGUUCUUUUAACAUUUUCUAAGUGCAAGAGCUGCCGAUAACGCGAAGGUAUUUCGUCUUCAUCGAAUUGUUCUCUAAUGAGUUGAAUUAAAACCCGAGCCAUGUCAGCUUCAUAGUUUCCCGGCAGACUAGUAGCAAUAAUUUCGGACUCCGUAAGAAGGUUUUGAAAAAGUGGAGUUAAAUUUGUUGAAUCAGGCAAAGUUAACGUGCCUUCUUCACCUGCUAACACCCUCUGCAACCUCACACCAAAUAGGGUGAGGUUAAUUUCCAUAUCUUUCCCUCUCUCAGUAGUACUCAGAGGUGAAUAACAACCUCACCCUUUGUUAGUAUUGAUGACGAAAGCUGAAUAACAAAACAACAGUGUACACAAUCAACAGAAGGCAAAGUAUGUUAAUUUGAGAUCAAAGGAUAUAAAUAUAGGAAAAGUUUUUGUAGAUUGAAAAUGGAUGGAUGCAAAGAAUGACUGAUAUUAAAUGAUUCUAUAAAUGAGAUAUGCCAAGAAUGAAUGAUAUUAAGUGAACAUCAAGGAUGGGAACAAAAUUUAAAGGUAACCUUUUUUUUUUUUUAAGUACUCUGUUGAAAGCCAAAGUUCCUUUGGCCAAUUAAUUUAGAAGUGAAGGAAAGAAUAAAGUUAGUCCUUGAUGUCUUUUGAAAUUAGAAAUACAUUUUGAAUGCCUUAAUAGAUGCAGAGCAAACUGGCUCGAUAUCUAACUAUUUUAAGAGCUAAAAUCAUUUAUUAGAAGUUGUAGCAUUAAAAAAAAUGGGCUUGAUAUCCAAUUUUGUUAUUGAAUAUGUCUCACGUGAGAGUAUAUAACUGUUGUGUUACUGGCAGAUGGCUAUGCUAGGUUUUAUUGCUCCUUGAAUUUGAUUGAAAAAUUAUUGAGACGGACAAGUUUGGACCAUUGUUCGAGACUGAAACUACACAUCAGUCUUAGAAAAUUGUAAUUUUAUUGGCUUAUCAUGAUUUUCAUCGCCCCAUAUUGAUUUUCCUAUGAUGUCUCUGUAGAGUGGCUAUGCUUACAUUUUUAGGUAUUUACUUCUAAAGGUUAACUUAUUAGAUGGAGGGACCAAUUCUACCCAUAAAUCCAAGUGGCUUCCCUUUACUAACUCAUAUGAGACACAACAAUAAUUUUCUUUGGACAAAACCACUGUUGGAGGGUUAUUUUCAUUCAAGAUACAUGAGUUGUUCCACCACCAUAUUUUGAGGGUUUGCUUUGGAUAUGACUUGGGGGAGCUAAGGCUAAGAUUUCUGAGUAGCAACAUAAAAACCUUGCCUAUUGGAUGGAAGGACCAAUCCUACUUUAAAGUCUAAAUGACUAAUUCUUGAGGACACAACUCAACAGACCAAUAUAAACUUUUGACGUCCCAUUUUAUUACUUUCCAGUGCUUUUACUUUUGCUGUCUAGAUAAAAACUAGUAUCAGUUUUUUUAUUUUUCCAUGUUAAAAAUGAUAAUUCUACAAUACAAACCGUUUCAAACAAAGAAGUAGACGAUAUUGAUAUUGAAUAAUAUCUUAUCCCAGAACGACAAUACUAAUUAUAAUUUCUUUUCGCACUGCAAAAAGUAAAAAAUGAGAUCCAAAUUGAAAUUAAUUCGACAAAGAAGCAAACAUUUCUAAGAACAUAUUUUAUACAAGUUUAUAGACAUAUCAUAUGGAUUUUGUUUUAUGCUAGAUAAUUAUUAAUUUAUAUAGCAAGUGGGUCCAUAACAAAAUAUGAAUUUAAGAAGAAGAAAAACUAUGUUUUACAAAAUUUCUGAAAUUAUUAACUUUUCACUUCGUCCAUCACAAAAAUUAUUAUUUAAUUCAGAUUAUCAAUUUAUUAAGAAUUAAUUCAAUGAGAUUUUAACAUAAAUAGUUACUUAUUAUCAUGUUUACGUUUCUCAACCAUUAAUUGCUUCAACUAAUUUUUGUUUCCACACACAAAUUUAUUGUAAAAAUAGUUCAACGUGUGUCUUUCUUCAAAUAACAAUUUUCUUGCCAAAAACAGUUUUCUUGUCACAAACAGAAAGUUUGUGUUAGCUGAAUGUCAUAUAAAAAACUGCCACUUCUUCUACAUGAAUGUCAUAUAAAUUUGUGUUAGCUGCCUAUAGAUUGCAUAAUAAUUUUCCUCAGGAAUUGUUGUCCAUUAUGGCAAUUUGAUUGAAAGUGAGGCUAAUUUCUCUGAAUUUGGACAGAGUAGGUCCUCCAGCGAGAACUGAAUCAGGACGAAUCGGCUCUCCAUUUUCUAAUUCGAACGAGCAAAGGAAGCCUGAAUCUGUGACCGUUAUCAAUACUCUGCUUCUAUUCUGAUUCUCAGGAAGUACUUCUUCAAGAUCAUCCAAUACAUCGUCACCCUCUUUGUACUAAUCAUCAAGCACAAUAAAGUACUUCUUGUUUGUUAGGUAAUCUCGAAGAAUAGAUUUCUUCAAUUGAUAAUCUUCGCCGAUAAUUACACUAACCCGAGAUGGAGGCAUCACAGACUUGAUUAUGUCAUCCAAUACCAUGCGAAAAUCGUAGGAUAUAGAAACCCUGACCCAAGCAUGACAGUCAAAAUAGAACUUGACAUGAUUAUUGUUGUAAGUAUCAGCAGUAAAAUCAGUCUUAUCGAAGCUACUGCUGUCGAGAAUUGGCUUGCAACCACUGAAAGCUGAGGUUGUCCCUCAAUCAAUAAAUCAAACAACUCCUCUCUGCCGCUGUCAAAUUCACUCUUAUCGAGCUGUGAUUGUGCCUCAAUCAAUAAGUGAGUGAAUUCGUUCCUUCGUUCUCUGAAAUCAAAACCAUUGUCUUCAGGUGGAAUUUGUUGCAACCGAUUUCUAAUAUCAAUGAUUUCACUGCUUUGCUGCUGCGUGAUGUUGAUGAAGAAUGUGUCAAUAGCUUUCUCAGAUUCACGGACAAAGUAAUUGAUGUCUUUCAGAAGUUCCCAAAUGUCUGUUCUUUUAGCAUUUUCUAAGUGAGCUGCCGAUAACGCGAAGGUAUUUCGUCUUCAGCGAAAUGUUCUCUAAUGAGUUGAAUCAAAACCCGAGCCACGUCAGCUUCAUAGUUUACCAGCAGAGUAUUAGCAAUAAUUUCGGUCUCCGUAAGAAGGUUUUGAAAAAGUGGAGUUAAAUUUGUUGAAUCUGGCAGCGGCAACGUGCCUUCUUCACCUGCUAACACCCUUUUCAACCUCACACCAUAUAGUGUGAGGUUAAUUUCCAUAUCUUUCCCUCUCUCAGUAGUACUCAGAGGUACGUAUUGUUAUUUGUUAGUGUUGAUGACGAAAGCUGAAUAUCAAAGGAUAUAAAUAAAACAAAAGUUUUUGUAGAUUGAGAAUGGAUGGAUGCAAAGAAUGGCUGAUAUUAAAAUAUUCUAUAAAUGAGAUAUGCAAAGAAUGAAUGAUAUUAAGUGAACAUCAAGGAUGGGAACAAAAUUUAAAGGUAACUUUUUUUUUUUUUUAAAGUAGUCUGUUGAAAGCCGAAGUUCCUUUGGCCAGUUAAAGUUAGUCCUCGACGUCUUUUGAAAUUAGAAAUACAUUUUGAAUGCUUUAAUAGAUGCAGAGCAAACUGGCUCGAUAUCUACCUAUUUUAAGAGCUAAAAUCAUUUAAUAGAAGUUGUAGCAUUAAAAAAGAAAAAAAAAACUGGCUUGAUAUCCAAUUUUGUUAUUGAAUAUGUCUCAUGUGAGAGUAAAAAAAACUGGCUUGAUAUCCAAAAUUUAAAGGUAACUCCUUGAAUUUGAUUGAAAAAUUAUUGAGACGGACAAGUUUGGACCAUUGUUCGAGACUGAAACUACACAUCAGUCUUAGAAAAUUGUAAUUUUGUUGGCUUAUCAUGAUUUUCAUCGUCUCACAUUGAUUUUCCUAUGGCGUCUCUGUAGAGUGGCUAUGCUUACAUUUUUAGGUAUUUAAUUCUAAAAAUUAACUUAUUAGAUGGAAGGACCAAUUCUACCUGUAAAUCCAAGUGGCUUCCCUUUACCAACUCAUACAAGACACAACAAUAAUCUUCUUCGGAAAAAACCACCGUCGGAGGGUUAUUUUCGUUCAACAUAAAUGAGUUGUUCCGCCACCAUAUUUUAAAGGUUUGCUUCUAAUACAACUUGGGGGAGCUAGGGCUAAGAUUUCUAAGAAUCAACAUAAAACCCUCGCCUAUUAGACAGAAGGACCAAUCCUACUUAUGAGUCUAAAUGACUAAUUUUUGAGGACACAACUCAACAGACCAAUAUAAACUUUUGACGUCCCAUUUUAUUACUUUCCUGUGUUUUUACUUUUGAUGCUGUCUAUAGCCCUACUAUUCUAUUAAGCAGAAAAUAUUUCAAGGCACUCUCGGUCCAGUAGAUAACUUUGGUAUUUAUUAUCUAUUUUCUUUCCAUUUUAUGUAUACCCCGAUCUUUACCUCUGAUUGGUUGUAGAUUCUUUUGUUGCUUUGGGGUUAGGGGAUGGUUUUCAUAACUAUUCAGUUGAUCAAUGCAGAAAAUCACCAUCAAGAAAUGAUAAAGGAUUGUUAGUUCUAUCUCUGACAAACAACAUUAAUAUGAAGGAUGAUGAUUGUUCUGUUCAAGAGUUUAUAAUGACAUAAUUCUACUUUGGUCUUUUAAAAAAAGUAAUUUAGAAACGAGGAGUAUGUGAGUGAUGAUUUUUACAAAAUAAAUUACAUGCGUAGUGAUGAUUUUGGCACAUGAAAAUGAAAAAAGAAAUAUAAAUUGUGAAUAAUAAUUGAAGAACCUGCUAUUGGUAUAUUGAGUAAUCAAGGACUUCAAUAUUCGGACGAUAUAAGCAACACAAUCAAAUAUUAGUUGGAAGGCAUAGCAAAAUUAGAAUGUAGAACAAACUGGGUAUUGAUAAAUGGAUGGUUUUGGAAGAAUUGAAAAUGAUGGCAUAAGUAAACCAAAGUUUAGAGAAAAGAGAAAGAGCAUUUGAACUUUACUUGUAAGAAAAGGCAAAUAUCUUGGUUCAAGAAAAGAUAAGAGAUAUCAAACUAGCAAUAGGAAAAAGGAGGAAGGUUAAGACAGCAUCUUAACAAAAGCUAAAGAAAAGAAAAACUUAGUUCAAGCAAAGAACAAUGUGCUAAUGUCGUGUAAUUUUGUUUAAUUUCUUUUUCUUCUCACAUUUUCCAGGGCUUAAAUAAUACAAUAUACAUUUUCAAGCAAAGAACAAUAUGCAAUUGCAGUACUUCUGAGCACACAACAACAAAUAAAUAAUACAAUAUACAUAGCCAGUAAAUUAAAAAUAUAUAUAUUAUUCAAGUUUGUGGACAAUACUGUAGCCAUGGCGUCGUCGAAAUCUACUGACAGCUGAAACAAAGAAAGAAUGGAUGAAUGCUGGAUCACAGUUGAAAUUGAAGGUCUGGUAGGUGAUGUUUCCCUCUCUUUUUUUACCUAAACAAAUACAAGAAAAUCAGAAUCACAAAUGAAAAUCUGCUAUUACACUGUUCUUACCUAUUAAAAUACAGAGGUUUCUUUGUUUCUCAGCAGCAAUGUCCAUGGCUAUUAGAAACAAGAACAAUUAGACCAGCAUUUGCAAGAAUCCUGUAAGGUAUUACUGCAGAUAUAAAUCGACUGAGGAAAUGGAAAAAUUGAAUACCAAAUUAGGCAAGUUAAAUGAAGAUUGAGUUAUCAUAGAAGAAUAAAACUCAUCCAAUUCAAUCCAUCAAAUUCCAUAAGGAUACAACUGGAUGUCAUACUGCUGCUCCAUAUCCUCAAGAGCCCGUAGAUUUUGCCUCAACUCUGGCUGAGGCCAAUGUAAGUCCAAUUUGCAAAAGCUCUUUAUGCACCAUAGCUCUUCAGGAAGCUUUCUCAAGUAAGCACAAGGGUUGACAAUUAUGCUUCCAAGUUUUGGCAUUGCUCCAGCCCCUAUCGUCCACUCCUCUAGCCAAUACAUUGAUUUCAGGUGCAAUACCUUGAGCUCCGGGAAACCACAAGAGCAAACACAAGCCAGUUUUCUUCCUGAAUAUGAGUUCUGCUUCAAUUUCAGCACUUGAAGGUGUGGAAGCUUGUCUAGUGUUAGCAUGGUAUCCUCCAAUAACUCAGUAUUUGAUAAGCUUAGAUGGAUCAGACUUGGAGAAGCUGGUAUUUAGACAGGGCCAUCCGAGAGAGCUACCACCUCUUGGUUUCGUUCACCAGCUUCAAGCAUUCAAGUUUAAUAAUGAUUAGUUUUAGAUUAGUUAAAAUGUAAUCAUGAUUAAGAUAAAUAUAUAUAUAUAUAUAGCUGCUGUACUGAUAUCAUGGAUUAAGUGUUGAGAAAUAAAAUUCAUUAAGCAUUUCCAGAACUCUUGAUUUUCUUUCUCAGUAACCAAGCAACUUCAAUCACAUUUUUUUUUUCCAACAAUGAGUUCUCAAACCACUCAGGUAUCAUUUUCAGACAUUCUUGGCCUUGUACUCACCAUCAAAAUGGAUUGGUUGAGAGAAAACAUAGGCAUAUUGAUGGUUGUCGAAGCCAGCAAAAAUAAACACCUACUCUAAAUAAAUUGUGUAUAGUAAUUGAGCAGGGUCGUGUCCACGAAAAUCGGUAAUUAUUUAAAUCUUUUUAAAAUGUAAAAUACAAAAUGGGGGAAUUGUUGACGAUAAUAAAAAUCAAAUUAAAAUAACAAGAAUGCAAAUUAAAGUUGUAAUCCAAAUUGGAGAAAGCUCUGGUUGAAGGAAUUAACUCAGCUUGAUUCGACUACUGAUCAUUGAUUCAAAUAAAUAUUAUUACUACUUAUGAAUAGACCGGUUAUAGCUACUGAGACCCUCUAAUAGCCAGUCUCUCCUUAACUAGCCGAUAACCAAGGUACGACCUUUGGUUAUUUCCCUAAUCAAUAGACAACCCUAGAUACGAUCAUAAGAUUUAAUCAAUUGACAGUCUGAAAAACCAGAGAGACCCAAAUCCUAAUCAACAAACACAUACGAUGGUUCAUUUAAAUUAGAUUGUUUAUUCUCACAACACAACUCUCUGCUAUGUUAUUUGUCACAAACAUUAAAAUUUUCAUACGAUGAAUCCUUUAAUUGACAUUAGAUUAAGUUGAUAAUUAAAUAGUGGCCAAUUAUCUAAUUAACAAAAAUAAUCAUGAUAAUAAUUCAGAGAAUAAACAAAUACCCAAAAAGUAAUAAAACAAUUAAAGCAUAAGAAAGAUCUCACAGUAGUGAUGAAUCAAAGCUUCAUUAACCUUCAACCAGAAUAAUAAGUUUAGUUCUUCAUAGAGAGAAGAGAAAAAUUUAGAUCUAGGGUUUUCUCUUUUCCCCAAUAAGUCCCUUUUUUCACAAUAGAUUCCUCCCUUAAAUACUCUCUCUCUCUUCUCCUCUAGAAUUCUAUUUAAAAUAAAUACUAAUAUCUGAAAUAUUAAAUUCGUAAUUACAAAAAUAACCAAAAAUACAAAACACGUUAAACUAAAAACUGCAGGUCCGUAGUUGACAGCACAAGCCCACGCCUUAUCAACAAAGUUCUUCUGACGCUCAUAAUUUCUCCAAGAGAACAAUAAUCCUUAAACAUCAUCUUGUAGCUCAAUUUUAUCACCAAUCAAUAGAAUUGCACCUACAAAAGUAAAACACAAGUAAAUCACUAUUAUUAAGUGCAAAACAUCGAUAUUAAGGGAAGUAAACAAUGCAAAACUAGUGCAUAAAUUGCACUCUAACAAUUAAGUUUGACUCUGUUGGCUCAAGCUCAACUUCCUUUUAAAUUCUGGUGGGAUGCAUUCCAUACUGCUCUAUAUCACAUCAAUAGAUUACCAUCUUCUGUUUUCAAACUUUCGACCCCAUAUGAGAAGAUAUUUAAGCACAAACCUGAUUAUGAUUUUCUCAAAUGUUUUGGUUGUAUUUGUUAUCCUUACUUGAGAGACUAUAACAAACAUAAGUUUGCCUACCAUUCCAGUAAGUGUAUAUUCAUUGGUUAUAGUCCUUCACAAAAGGGUUAUAAAUGCUUACAUUCUUCAGGUCAUGUCUAUGUGGCAUGACAUGUUAUCUUUGAUGAGUCAACCUUUCCUUAUGCUACUGAAUCUGUUUUUCAUAGUCACACAAAUUCUGAUUCUCAUUCUUCAAACUUAUUUACUCCACAGCAUGUCUAUUAUCUUUCUACUUUACCUGUCAUACCAGUAUUUCUAAAUAACAACACUGAUAAUCUAAACUCUACAAAACUAAAAUGCCAGCUUUUUGGUGUUAGCGAUAGGAAACAACUUACCACAACCAUUAAUUAUCCAUAAUUUCAUUGUUUAUCCUCAGUUUUCUUCAUAAAUGUUACAGCAUUCUUCAUGAGAAAGUGCAAGGGCAUCUCAAAAGUUCUGAAAUAAUACCUCAAUUCUAUUGCAAAAAUAAAUAAUCUCAAACAAGAACCAAUAAUCAUAUUUCGUUACUGUCAAACACAAUGCAUCUGAGCAAAACAUUGGAAGCCAACACCAGAAUACAUAUGAAUAAACAAUUAAAGAUAGAGAAAAAAGGCUUAAACCUUGGGGGAAAAAAGUGAAAAAACAUGAAAGACAAAUUACACAUGUGCAGUAACCAUCGAACUUAUCAGUGACAGCUGCAUCCAUUACAUUGCUCCAACAACACAAUGGCAAACCACCAGUUUCAAAUUGAGGAUAGCUCUCGAGAAUGAGAAAGUGUCCAAAACGUCAUAAAUAGACAUGUUCCUAUUGUGCAUAAUUUACAUUAUAGGCAAAUAUUCUUAUACCAUCAAAGGCAAAACAUGACACUAACAAUUGGGAAUCCACUCCCCCCUUUUCCUUUUUUACCCUCAUAAUUAAAAUAAAUAAAUAAUAUUUAAUAAAAUAAAUAAUAUCAUAUUUAUUAAAAAUAAUAAUUAUAAACAUAUUUAUUUUAUUAAAUUUAAUAAAAUAAAAAUAAAUAAAUAUUAUAUUUAAAUUAAUAAUAUUAAACAUUAUUUUAAUAAAUAUUAAUUAAUUAUUUAAUUAAUAAUAAUAAAUAUUUUAUUCUAAGAAAAUAUUAAUUUUGUACUAUAUUAUCAAUAAUAAUGUUUCAUUUGUGUUGCUAUUAUUAAUAAUUUUUAUUCACAUAAUUUAAAUUAAAAUUAAUAAAAAAUUAUGAUUUACAUAAUUAAGAAUAUUAUUAAUUAUUAUUAAUUUAUAAAUAUAAUAAAAUAUUUAUUUUAUUUUUCAAAUAUAUUUUUUAUUAAUUUUGUAAUUACAAAUUAUAAUUCUUUAAAUAAGGGUAAAAUUGUAAUUUAAAACUAUUUACUUCCAAUCCAAGACAAUGUAAACACAUAAAUUGGAUUCUGGUUUCAAUUCCAUUCUCUCAUUCCAUUGUAAGUAAACAACCUACUCCAACUCCCACUCCAAACUCCCAAUCUUAGGAUUCCCACUCCUCAGGAUUCCCACUCCAAUCCAAAAUGUAAACGCAUAUAAAAGUAUUUUGAGCAUUACUGGUCAUUGUCUUUCUAUGAGCCACUUAUUUUGAGCAUUAGCGACCUUAUAAGGAAUCAUGCCUUUUCAGGAUCGUUUUCUUUCAUUUCCCUAUUGUCGUAGUUAAUUAAAUAAAGAACGAACAGCUGAACUUGGUCUAUUUCGAGGAAGACCAAGGCUUCCAAUACUAGAGGAACUUUGAAGAAAAUUAAUUGGAAGCCUUCAUUCAUCUUUGAAGAAAAUUACGUGCCAACGUAACCAAGGCUUUUAUUCAUCUUCGGACUAUGAAUUUAUACAAAGACAUUAACAGAAAAUAACAAAGACACAGCUAAAUGAUAGCAGCAAGUGCUGAUUUAGUGAACCACUUUUACAAGUAAAUAAAAAGUAAAUAUUUAUUUUGACUAUAACAACAACUACCCUCUUGAAUAGGACUCUACAGCAGCCACGUGACAACUAAUUUUUCCAUAAUAUUAUUAUUAGUAGAAGUAGAUUUUCAAACUAGUCUUGAUAGAUUUCAAAGUUGUAUUAUCAAUGUAUAAGUAUCUAGAUUGUAACUAUAUUUUUAAAAAUAAAAUAUUUUAAUUAUUGCACAGUAAAUGUAGAAGAAUAUCUGUAAAAUAAUAUUAUUAGGACUAAGAAAAAAUAUUAUUUCAGAUACGUUAUUUAUUUAUUAUUGAAUUAAUAAUUUAUUAAUUUAUUGAUAAAUGAAUAUUUAUUAAUUUAAAGAAAGACUUUUUUGGUUUUAUGAAGAGUUUGUUUGGUACAUGCACACACUUAUAAAGAAACAUAAAAAGUGCUUCCUCAAGUCAAUGGUAUUUGCUCUAAUCGCUACGAUUCAUAAUAAUAUAGCUUAGUUAGGAAAUUUGUAAUUAUAAUAUGAUUCUUUUAAUACAACUUUUCAAGUAGAGCUUAUUUAAGUAGAGAUUUUGUUAAUAGAGGUAUUAUAAAUAAAGAUUCCACUAAAAAAAAUUUAGUUGUUUGAUUAUAAUGUCCAAAUUGAUGAACUUUUAUUCUUUUGUUAACAUCUGUUUGUUUUACUUAAUAAUAAAAGUUUAGUUUACAAUUACACCGGUAUCAAAUCAGCAGAGCAUUGUUGUUUUACUUUAUAAAAGCAUCGGCAAGAGUUUUCGAUUGUUGCAACUUGCAAUGCACGCGGUGAGAGAAAAUGAGAAUCUUGUUUAAUUGUCAAUAAUGACAAACCUAAUCCUUUCAUUAGGAGUAAUUUAAUAAUCGUUUGUUAUAAUUGAAUAGGUAUAAAGAAAGGACAAUUCUAUUCAUAGAUUCGACUUAUUUUUUUGUUUAAAGUAAGUAAUCAUUCAACCAUCUUCAUUUGCCUCUGGCCAAUGCCCUAGUAGAUUAGUUGAAGCGUUAAUUACUUAAUUCAGAUAAUUACAACGUCCUUUUCGCUAAUUAAUUAUGAUUAUGUACAUUUUCAUAUAGCAAGUGGCAUUGUAGAUAUAAACUAAGUUGCUAUUUCAAUACGUUAAUCAAGUGAUUCUCCUCAUUGUCAUCAGCGUCAUACCCUCUAGGAAAAUAGCUCAAUUGUUUCCAUGCAUUGAUUUUCAUUGGUAUGUGAUUUCAGAUUUCUUAUGAAAUUCUUUUGAGCUUUCCUUAUUAAUUGAUUUUCAAUUAACUUGUGAACGAUUUUAUACCCUCUCUUUUUUUUUUUUUUAAGUACUCUAUUGAAAGCCAAAGUUCCUUUGGCCAGUUAAUUUAGAAGUGAAGGAAAGAAUAAAGUUAGUCCUCGACGUCUUUUGAAAUUAGAAAUACAUUUUGAAUGCUUUAAUAGAUGCAGAGCAAACUGGCUCGAUAUCUAACUAUUUUAAGAGCUAAAAUCAUUUAAUAGAAGUUGUAGCAUUAAAAAAAAAAAAAACUGGCUUGAUAUCCAAUUUUGUUAUUGAAUAUGUCUCAUGUGAGAGUAAAAAAAAACUGGCUUGAUAUCCAAAAUUUAAAGGUAACUCCUUGAAUUUGAUUGAAAAAUUAUUGAGACGGACAAGUUUGGACCAUUGUUCGAGACUGAAACUACACAUCAGUCUUAGAAAAUUGUAAUUUUGUUGGCUUAUCAUGAUUUUGAUCGCCUCACAUUGAUUUUCCUAUGGCGUCUCUGUAGAGUGGCUAUGCUUACAUUUUUAGGUAUUUAAUUCUAAAAAUUAACUUAUUAGAUGGAAGGAACAAUUCUACCUGUAAAUCCAAGUGGCUUCCCUUUACCAACUCAUACAAGACACAACAAUAAUCUUCUUCGGAAAAAACCACCGUCGGAGGGCUAUUUUCGUUCAACAUAUAUGAGUUGUUCCGCCACCAUAUUUUAAGGGUUUGCUUCUAAUACAACUUGGGGGAGCUAGGGCUAAGAUUUCUAAGUAUCAACAUAAAAACCUCACCUAUUGGAUAGAAGGACCAAUCCUACUUAUAAGUCUAAAUGACUAAUUUUUGAGAACACAACUCAACAGACCAAUAUAAACUUUUGACGUCCCAUUUUAUUACUUUCCAGUGCUUUUACUUUUGCUGUCUAUAGCCCUACUAUUCUAUUAAGCAGAAAAUAUUUCAAGGCACUCUCGGUCCAGUAGAUAACUUUGGUAUUUAUUAUCUAUUUUCUUUCCAUUUUAUGUAUACCCCGAUCUUUACCUCUGAUUGGUUGUAGAUUCUUUUGUUGCUUUGGGGUUAGGGGAUGGUUUUCAUAACUAUUCAGUUGAUCAAUGCAGAAAAUCACCUUCAAGAAAUGAUAAAGGAUUGUUAGUUCUAUCUGGCAAACAACAUUAAUAUGAAGGAUGGUGGUUGUUCUGUUCAAGAGUUUAUAAUGACAUAAUUCUACUUUGGUCUUUUAAAAAAAGUAAUUUAGAAACGAGGAGUAUGUGAGUGAUGAUUUUUACAAAAUAAAUUACAUGCGUAGUGAUGAUUUUGGCACAUGAAAAUGAAAAAAGAAAUAUAAAUUGUGAAUAAUAAUUGAAGAACCUGCUAUUGGUAUAUUGAGUAAUCAAGGACUUCAAUAUUCGGACGAUAUAAGCAACACAAUCAAAUAUUAGUUGGAAGGCAUAGCAAAAUUAGAAUGUAGAACAAACUGGGUAUUGAUAAAUGGAUGGUUUUGGAAGAAUUGAAAAUGAUGGCAUAAGUAAACCAAAGUUUAGAGAAAAGAGAAAGAGCAUUUGAACUUUACUUGUAAGAAAAGGCAAAUAUCUUGGUUCAAGAAAAGAUAAGAGAUAUCAAACUAGCAAUAGGAAAAAGGAGGAAGGUUAAGACAGCAUCUUAACAAAAGCUAAAGAAAAGAAAAACUUAGUUCAAGCAAAGAACAAUGUGCUAAUGUCGUGUAAUUUUGUUUAAUUUCUUUUUCUUCUCACAUUUUCCAGGGCUUAAAUAAUACAAUAUACAUUUUCAAGCAAAGAACAAUAUGCAAUUGCAGUACUUCUGAGCACACAACAACAAAUAAAUAAUACAAUAUACAUAGCCAGUAAAUUAAAAAUAUAUAUAUUAUUCAAGUUUGUGGACAAUACUGUAGCCAUGGCGUCGUCGAAAUCUACUGACAGCUGAAACAAAGAAAGAAUGGAUGAAUGCUGGAUCACAGUUGAAAUUGAAGGUCUGGUAGGUGAUGUUUCCCUCUCUUUUUUUACCUAAACAAAUACAAGAAAAUCAGAAUCACAAAUGAAAAUCUGCUAUUACACUGUUCUUACUUAUUAAAAUACAGAGGUUUCUUUGUUUCUCUGCAGCAAUGUCCAUGGCUAUUAGAAACAAGAACAAUUAGACCAGCAUUUGCAAGAAUCCUUUAAGGUAUUACUGCAGAUAUAAAUCGACUGAGGAAAUGGAAAAAUUGAAUACCGAAUUAGGCAAGUUAACUGAAGAUUGAGUUAUCAUAGAAGAAUAAAACUCAUCCAAUUCAAUCCAUCAAAUUCCACAAGGAUACAACUGGAUGUCAUACUGCUGCUCCAUAUCCUCAAGAGCCCGUAGAUUUUGCCUCAACUCUGGCUGAGGCCAAUGUAAGUCCAAUUUGCAAAAGCUCUUUAUGCACCAUAGCUCUUCAGGAAGCUUUCUCAAGUAAGCACAAGGGUUGACAAUUAUGCUCCCAAGUUUUGGCAUUGCUCCAGCCCCUAUCGUCCACUCCUCUAGCAAAUAAAUUGAUUUCAGGUGCAAUACCUUGAGCUCCGGGAAACCACAAGAGCAAACACAAGCCAGUUUUCUUCCUGAAUAUGAGUUCUGCUUCAAUUUCAGCACUUGAAGGUGUGGAAGCUUGUCUAGUGUUAGCAUGGUAUCCUCCAAUAACUCAGUAUUUGAUAAGCUUAGAUGGAUCAGACUUGGAGAAGCUGGUAUUUAGACAGGGCCGUCCGAGAGAGCUACCACCUCUUGGUUUCGUUCACCAGCUUCAAGCAUUCAAGUUUGUGUAGUUCGCAUAGGCUUUUGGAAACCCCAGAACGAUAAUAACUCAAACCUCCAGAUACUAAGAGUUUGAAAAUGAGGUAGUCUGCCUGUUAAAGUAGCUCACUAUGCUGAACGAAAGAAGGAGAAAGCUAAGCUGAAGAAAAUACAGGGCAAGAGUAUUAGCUGUGCCAGCUCAACUGACAGCUCAGCAAAAUCAGUUAAAUUUUGUUACAAGCUCCCUGUGCAUUGUGCUGAAGAUUAGUUAGUUUAAUAAUGAUUAGUUUUAGAUUAGUUAAAAUGUAAUCAUGAUUAAGAUAAAUAAAUAAAUAUAUAUAUAGCUGCUGUACUGAUAGGGCAUCUCAAAAGUUCUGAAAUAAUACCUCAAUUCUAUGGCAAAAAUAAAUAAUCUCAAACAAGAACCAAUAAUCAUAUUUCGUUACUGUCAAACACAAUGCAUCUAAGCAAAACAUUGGAAGCCAACACCAGAAUACAUAUGAAUAAACAAUUAAAGAUAGAGAAAAAAGGCUUAAACCUUGGGGGAAAAAAGUGAAAAAACAUGAAAGACAAAUUACACAUGUGCAGUAACCAUCGAACUUAUCAGUGACAGCUGCAUCCAUUACAUUGCUCCAACAACACAAUGGCAAACCACCAGUUUCAAAUUGAGGAUAGCUAUCGAGAAUGAGAAAGUGUCCAAAACGUCAUAAAUAGACAUGUUCCUAUUGUGCAUAAUUUACAUUAUAGGCAAAUAUUCUUACACCAUCAAAGGCAAAACAUGACACUAACAAUUGAUCCCCCCCCAAAACCAAAAAAAAGGAAAAAACAAUACAGAAAAGAUUGAAACAGAUAAGGCUACACUGAGCACAGGAUGCCAUGAAACAUAAUCCAGGAACCAAAUUAAUAAAAAAGGAAGCCAAACCAUUAUUUAACAAUCUGUUUUGUAUUUGGGAAAGUCUGAUAAAAUCUACUUAGGGAUAAUUAGAGAACCUCAACUAUUAAUCACACCUCAUAAAUGAACUAACAUUAACCAUCUACCAUCCCCACGUCACACAAACAUUCUCUAUACUUCUGAACCUAAUCCAUCUUCAAUUGGGGUUUUUUUUUUUUUUUUUGGGUGGCGGGGGGGGGGAGCUAUCAAUUUUCUAAGCUUGCUUAGCUUCUGUGUGGGAUUGAAAUGCUGAUUUCAAAUCACUAACAGUAAAAUUGGAAGCUCAUGAAAAAACAGUUUUAUCUCAAAAUUACAUCUCGAUAUAAAUUCUCUUUUCAUUUCCUUCAACUUUCUAAUUAAGCUUAAAAAAUGUACCUUCAACCACAAAGGGGUUUAAAAUUUAAAAUAUAAAAAAUAAAUUCAGAUAACAAUAAUUAAUUUAAUUAAAAAUAUAAAUAGAGUUACAGAGAAAGAGAAAUUAGAGAAAGACCUAAUGUUGAGUCCUUUGGCGCAUGUCUCUUCAUAGGUCCGAACCAUUUCUUCGGGCGUGGGUUACGGCCGAGAUUGGAUAAUGAUGGAGGAGGAGAAGAUUAGCGAUGACGACGCCGAUGAAAUGGAAGGGUUUACCAGAGGAGUGGAUGCGAAGAGUGCAGGGACGGCCGCAGAGAGAGAGCA